UGGAGUCGAAGAAUGCGACAUCUCAUGAUCAUCAGCAUGUAUGGUGUUGUUAUCUGCAUGGAAGUACUUGAGUUUUGAAAGGUUGAAAAAGGGUCUUAAUGAGCUUGGGAUGUGAAAUUUAUUGUUUGAAACAUCCAACAAUUGGAGGGAUGUUAGACUUUCAAGGGCAGAUAUAUUUCCAGAUAACUGAUUAAAAGAGAGGUCCAAAGAUGCAAGCAAUGUUAGGCUCUGAAUGGCAGAUAUAUUUCCAGAAAAUUGAUUAAAAGAGAGGUCCAAAGAUGCAAGCAAUGUUAGGCUCUGAAUGGCAGAUGUAGUUCCAGAGAACUUAUUAGAAGAGAGGUCCAAAGAUUCAAGCAAUGUUAGGCUCUGAAUGGCAAGUAUAUUUCCAGAGAACUGAUUAGAAGAGAGGUCCAAAGAUGCAAGCAAUGUUAGGCUCUGAAUGGCAGAUAUAUUUCCAGAGAACUGAUUAGAAGAGAUGUCCAAAGAUUCAAGCAAUGUUAAGCUCUGAAGGGCAGAUAUAUUUCCGGAAAACUGAUUGUAAGAGAGAGAUAACAUUUUAAGGGAGGUGAGGUUGGAGAAACACAUGGGUAAGCUACCCUUUAGAUUACAGCCAUUGAUACCCAACUCUUGGAGAUUUGUGGAUUCACAGACAUCUGCAAAAGUAGUAGUAUAUAUGUAUAUAUUUAAGGAGUUUACAAAUAGGUACAAAUCUAAAUAAUAAAUAAAAUAUGUUGAAUUAAUUAGAAUAAUAAUCAAUUCAAUAUAAAAUAUUCAAGAGUGAAAAUUAGAAAAUCUACACGUGAUGGGAUUCGAAUCUAGGCAUUCAAGAUGCUAAGCCUUAAUUCUUUGCCUUUAGUGUGUUUAACCAUUUUUUUUUGGUCCAUAAGGUUUGUAGAAUUUAAAGUUUUAGCCUUUCUAGUUGUGAAAUUAUAAAUUUAAAGACUAAUUGGUGUAUUGUUAAUAAAUUUCUAUUAAAUUUGAAUAUAUGCAUUUUAAUAUUAAAAAAUAGUAGUUAAAUUUUUUUAUUUAUAUAUAAAAUCAAAAUUAUAUAGUGGAUUUGAAUAUCCUUCCUUUAUGGCUUUAUGUGAAUAAGUAAAGCAAAUUCACAUGUAUCUAUCCACGUCCAUUUUGAAUCUGAAUAUUAUCUGAAUUUAUAGCAUUCGAAUAUAAAAGAAGCAUAUCAAAUUUAUAGAUAUAUGAAUCUAUAAUCCGAAUUACCACAUCUAAGAAAAAUUAUAUUUCAAAAUUCAAAAAGCAGCAUAUUUAUAUAUAUUAAAUCUAGAAAUAUAUAAAACUAAAAUGAUGAGUAACUGAAAAUAGAAUAUCUACCAUGCAUAGGUGGACUGUUGUUACCAUCAAUAUCAGAGGCGGUCAAUUUUUUAAGAGAAAUGAGUGGUCCAAAAACUUGAAUAAAGUUUGAAGGUAAAGAUGAAUAAGACAACUCCAACUCUUCCAAACUUCUCAAAUUUAGGCCUUCUGUUCAAUAACAUUAACUGCAAGUUAUAUUUUUUAAAAAAAAUAUGGGAAACAAUGUAUAUUUAUAAAACUAUGAAGAAAAUAAGGAUUUGAAAUUAUGAGUUUCGUUCUGUUCUUUUAUUUUACAUAAAUUGAGAUGUUAGCUUUUUCUGUUUUAAUUUGUCAAAAUUUGGUUAACUGAAUUUUGUAAAUUAAGAAGCUAGUCUAGUUAUUGGUAAUAAUAUAUAUUCUCAUCUUUACAUCCUUUUAUAAUUGUUUUUUGAAAAUAGAUCCUGCAGAAUGCAUUAGUUUGACGGAAAAUUACAACGUUGAAAAAACAAUUUCCUAAAAAAACUUAAACGGCACCUUAGCAUCCUUUCAUAAAUUAAAACUACUAAAUUAAUUAAUGAAGAUUUUUUCUUAAAUCUAGAAAAUGGAUUUAAAACAAAAAUUUGACCUUACCAGUGUAUAUUAUCAAGUAUAUAUUGUUAAGGACAAUUUGAAAUAAAAAAUGACUUAAAAUCAAAUAAAUAUUAUCAUAAGAGGGAAAUUGAAAGAAUGAAAUUACCUUGUCGAGUGAGGUUUUUGUUGACGUUACAGUACAACAACUUUAAACGCUUCAAUGAAGUAAAGUCUGCUGUAACAGAGGCUUUCAAUAUCAAAUAUGUGUCAGAGAGAGAAAGGCAAAUAUAUUAGAGAAAUAUCCCAACAAAAUAUAUACCAUCAAAUUAUGUCUUGUACUCUUUGCACAUUUAAAAAUUAGUCUCUCUACUCUUAAUCUCGAAAAUUUAAUCUCUCUCUUCAUUUGAUUUAAUAAUUGAAAUCCAACUGAUAACAUCAUCAAAGGAUUUUCGUUAAAUUGGAUUACAUGACUUUUUUAAUAUGAAAUAUUUACUCACGUGGCUAAUUGCAUUUUGCAGAUUAUAACAUUGUUUGCAAAUGCUUAAAAUGUGUAAUAAUUUGAUCGAACAAAAAAAAAAUUUACAUGAGUGGAAGGCCAAAUAAACAAAAAUAAAUGUUGAAUCUAGUAUCGUAGAUUUUCGAUUUCGAAUAUAGAAUUGUAAGGUUCUUAGCUUUGUUUCAAAGAAAGGAGAGUGAAUACCGGUAUUUUUUAUUUUUCUGACAUAAUGUGCCCUUAAAUUGGCAAUAUGAGCAAAAUUUUCUGCUUUAAAAAUAUCACUCAAUCCAAAUUAAUAGAAUAGAAAAUAGAGUAAUUAAAUUUAAAAAAUGCGAAGAGUAUAAGGACUGCAUGCAUAAUUAGACCUACACGUAUAAAUUAAUUGUUUGUAAGAAAACAUCAAAACUUACUAUUGCGGGAAUAAGAAGCCAUUGUGGUUUCAUUAAUAUUAAAUCCAUCCAAAGAAAGAGUGUUCAAAGUGGGGAAGAAGCCCAAUGAUUGUAAUGAGAAGCUACAACCUGCAUCUGCAUCUGCCUCUGUAUAUGCAUCUGCAUGUCAAACAAUGCUUUAUUUCAUUAGAAUAUGUGUAAUUAGCAAGUCAGGGCAAAUAAAACAAAUCUUUAUUUCUGUUUCCUCUUCUUCAUAUCUAUCCCCAAAGUAGAGUUUAACAUUACAUGAUUUCUUUUCUUCUUCUUUUUUCUCUCAAAUUUUUAAUUUUUGCAUUACCUAUAUAGCUGGCCAUAGUCAGCUCUUCCAAUUUGCCCAAACCAUAUAAAUCUGAGGAGAAUCAGAAAUUGAAAAAUAGUUUAGUUCAAAUAAAGCUUAUGAAUUUAUAUUACUCAUUCAAUACUUCUUUUUUCUUCCUAAAAAGAAGAGGAUGGGGAGAAGGGUGAUUUUUACCUUUCAUAUCUAUUAAUCCAUUGCAUUGAGAGAUACCUAUGCUCAAAGUCUUUAGAUUCGGAAGUGUAGCAAGAGAUGCCAAUAUACUAUUGUUGAAACCAUUAUUACUCAAAUCAAGAUGUUUCAAAUUCAUCAGCCUUAGUCCUGCACCAUUAUCAAGUAACAACAUUUUUAGUUAUUUUAUUCCAUAUGAUAUUUAAUUUUUAAAAUUUUGACACGUGCCUCUUUUUUUAAUAUUUUAUUAUAUCUCUAUAGAACACUUGUUAACCCAAUGACUUUACUUAUGGAGUCUAAAAUCCCUAAGUUUAUAAUAAAUUUAACAAUACCAAAAUUUUAAAAAAAAUAGAUUUAAUGUUAAAUUGAGAAUUUUAAAAAAUCAUAAAUACCUUGAGAUGGAAUAAAUCCAUUCACUUCAUUAUAGUCUAAGAUCAACUCCUCUAAAUUGCUGAGAGCAUUUAAAUCUGAAGAUAACGUUAGAAAGGAAACUAAAAAUAAGUUUAUUUUGUUUAGCAUGUGAAAACUAAUAGCAUAUUAAUUUAAAUAUUUAAAGCAUUCAUAAUGGGAACUAUUCAUUUAGUCUACUAUAUUAUUUGUGUUAGAUUUUGAACAAAGUUAUUUUCAAUUCCCACUUAAUCUCUUUUAUUAUGUUAAUAAUAUAUUAUUCUUUUGUAAAUGUGAAAGCGAGGUUUUCGAUUAAGUUUUGGCCUAACUUGAAUGGGUUUAUUCAGUUCAACUUAUGAAAUAUCUAUUGUCAAUGGUAAAUAUUUGGUUAAGUGUUCAAAUAGAGAUGAAACCUUUUAUGAGUUGCAUAUGAAUCAAAACUUUAAAAGUAGUUAAGUAAAAGUUAAGUCUGCGUCAUACAAUAGAGAAACCUUACACAAUGACCAAAUAAGAGUUGAACCUUUUCAAUUGUGCUCAAAUAAGGAUUUUUCAAAUACCAUAUAAUAUAUUUGAAUUUUUUUUCUUUUCAAAUAAUAUCUUAUUAAACCAUGUGUGUUUUAUUCUAAACACGUUAGCAUUCAUCUAAUAAUUUUUACUUUCAAAAGGGCAUGAUUUUUUUACCGUUUUGAAAGGUAAUUAGGUGCUUGCAUAUAAAUAUUAACAAUUUAUUUAAUAUAUGUCUAAUUAAUUGGAAAAUGGAUGAAAAGCAUUUAAUUGUGAAAGGAAAAUUACAAAUAAAACUAAUAACAAAUCAUAUAAAAUCAAAAGAUAUCAUAUUCUUACCUUUUGUAUAUAUUGCCCCCUCCAAUUGGUUACCAGAUAAAUCCAAUGACUUUAAAUUCGAGAGCUCAACAAGGGAUGAGAAUACACUAUUGUUAAAGAGAUUACCAUUUAAACUAAGUACCUCAAGUUUGUUGAACUUCAUUCCUUCUUUUUCUAAAAAGAAAAAAAAAGUUAAUGUAAUUUCAUCUUAAAAAAGAUAAUAUGUUGGAACAACGAUUAAUAAAGCCAAGUGAUUUACCAUGGAAUAGUGACCCAAGGCUCUUAAUUUCAUUUCCCCCUAAAUAUAGCUCCUUCAAGUUCAUCCAAUUAUUAUUGCUUUCUGUUCAUAUCCAAUGAAAAUAUAUGUAAGUUAGUCAAGUUAUUUAAAAAGGGAUAUAUAACAUUUAGUCCCUGAAUUUUGUAAUUUUCUCCAACUUGGUCCUUGAACUGUUUUUUGUCCACAUUAGUCUUGGAAUUUAACAUCUUUCCAUAGCUUUGGUCCAUGAGAUGAUGCUGCACUAUGAGAUUGUGUCAUGUCAUCACCUAAAUUCUUGAAAAAUUGCUAAAUUCCAGGACUAAUGUCUACCAAAAAAGUUUAUAGACUAAGUUAGAAAAAAUUACUAAAUUCAAGGACUAAAUGUAGCUUUACCCUUAUAAAAACAACUAACUAAUAAGCUUUCUAUUUUUUUUAAUCAAAUUAAGCAUGAUAUUCAAAAAGGAAACAUGCCUUGUAUAUCAAGGGUUCUUUUUAGUUCGCAAUACUCCAAACGCAAUGAUUUUAAAGAGGCAAAACCAUCUAGUUGUGAUAGGAUGUUAUUUGCUAAACGGUUGAAAGAUAAAUCCAAAGUUUCCAAAUUGUUCAACUUUGAUAACAUCUCAAUACCUGCCAACAAUAAUAUUAAAAAAAGGGACAAAACUACUUUAAACUUGGAUCAGCUCUGCAUCAUAUAUAAUUAAAUAUUAACUUUACCAUUGGUAGGAUUUGAUCUUGUGAAUACAUUUCCAGCUAGAUUUAAAGACUUAAGCGAGGAAAGUUCACUUAAGGAUGCUAAAAUGCUAUUGUUGAAAUGAUUGUUACUCAAGUCAAGAUUCUCCAACUUGUCCAAUUUCGAUGACAGCCUUUCGAAACCUACAAGGAAUAAGGAAAUAUAGUAAAUUAGCAAUAUCGGGGGACAGGGUCUUGGCUCCAAAAAAUAUGGUAAAUUUUCAGUUUAGUCCUUACCAAAACUGUAAAUUGAUGCAAUAAUAAAAUUUCAUUUCAACGAUGAACAAGUAGUUGAAAUGAUUUUUUUGACAUACAAAAUAAUAAAAAGAAAUAAAUGUUCGUAAUAAAGUUGAAAGGUAAUAAACCUUGAUUGGCAACACAGCCGGUUAUGAAAUUCCCCCUUAAAAAAAUACUCUGUAAUUUCUCAAAAGGAAGAAACAAAGAGGCAUUAAGAUACCAAUCUAUCUCCAUGUUACUGGAAUAAUUAAGGAAAAGAUGGGUGACUCGUCUAGUUAUUGGGUUGCAUUCAACCCUUUCCCACUCACAACAAUUUGAUGAACUCUCUUUUUCAUAUACGAAGUCAUCAUUGAUUAGAUCUUGAAACUUAUAAUCAAUGAACUCAAAGAAAGGUUUGAGUUGGAAGAGAGCAAAUCUUUCUUCCUCUAAGCAACCAUCACACAGCCCAGAACCUAACGAUAACACUACAAGAACCAUGGCUAACCAUUUCGACUCCAUCUCACCACUUUAUGCUUUUGUAGCCAAUGCAGCAACCCCUUUAUAUGCUAAAAGAAAAAGGAAGAAGGCUUCAUGCUUCCAAGAAAUUCAUUCACAAUCGCUUAAAUUGUUUACUUUGUUUUUCAACUUUAUCAUUGAUAUUUUCAUGGAACCCUCUCAUUUCUCUCUUUUUUCCACAUUAAAGAUACACAUGUUAAUGCAUAUGGCUAAUAAGGUGUACAGUCAGUCAAUCCCGUGUGGACCACUAUCUUUUCUUUGCUUUCUUUUCGUACACAGCACAGACUCCUCCAAAUUCAGGUGCCAUUGUUUCUCGUCUUUCAUCAUCCUAAAUGCAUUUGCUUUGCUGAUUUAUUGUGAUAAAAUAAGUUUUAUUAUCAGGAGAAAACCAUUAAAAAAUUAAUGUAUUAUUAAAAAGAUUAAAUAAGACCAAAUAGGAAUUAUAGUUAACAAUCAUUGUUUAAUACAAACAUAAUAAUUAUUUUUUCAUUUAGAAUUCAACACCAAACAAAAUAAUAUACCUUUGUUAAAACAAUGAAUGAUGUUUUUAAAUAGUAAAUGUUAACUUUGUUUAAAUUUGGCUUUAUAUAAUUUUUCAAUAAUAUAGCGACUAAAUUAAUCCAUUUAAUAGUAGAAGGAUGAAUUUGAUUUGAUCGCUAUAACAGACAGAGGGACCUACCAAGUACAUUCAUCCUUUUCUAUAUAUAUGAUUUGAUUAUAGUAGAUGUCCCAAAACUAUGAUCCAUGUUUUAAAUUAGACUUCAAAUUUCAAGAUACUCUAAUUAAGUCAAUAGAUUAUCAAUAUUUCCAUCAAUCUGGGCAUCAUAAAGGGAAGUAAAUACUAACUUAGAUAUGAGAUGGAUCAUAUUUAAAAUAUAUGAAUCAAAUUUUAAUGACAACUUUGAUAUAACAUGUUAAAAAGAAAAAAAAGAAGAGCUCUCUUAAAUUUUAAUGACAUUAUUUUAUAUUGAAGACCUUAUUCAUACAACAUUCAACAUAAUUGUUAAAUAUAUACACAAUGAAAUAUACUAAUAUUCAACAUUCAAAUUGCAUAUAUAUUCAAAAGCAAAUAUUGAAAAUUUCUUAAUAGAUGACGAUACACGUACCCUUUUCCUUGGUAGUGUAGUUAUAAUACAAGAAGCAUAGUCAACCAUUUUGACUCCAUCUUAGCACUUUAUGCCCUCAUGCUUCCAAGAUACUCAUUCCGUAAGGGGGUAUUAGAAUGAGGAAUUUUAUUUUUUAUCAAAGUUUUUAAAAAUUUAAAAGGGAAUUUACUUGUUUAGAUAAAAAAUUUAAAAUUUAUAACUAAUUUCAAGAAAGGAUUUUAAUAGCUCAAAUUUCCUUUUCAAAUUUCAUCUAAAGAAGUGGUUUUUCAAAAUAUAUUAUAAUUUUAUUUCAUUUAAUAAACAUGGUUCCAGUAUAUGAUAAAUACUACAACUUCAAAAAAUUAAUACAUUUUUAACAAUUUUAUUUUAUUAAAAAUAUUUAUAAAUUUUACAAAUAGUUUUAUAUUAAUAAUGAAUAUUAUUUAUUUUUAGUGUAAUUAUUCUUUAAUUCAUAAAAAAAAUCCAAUAACUCAUUUUUGUUAAAACAAUUAUUCAUGUUAUCAAUAAUUCUUUAAUUCGUAAAAAUCCUCAAUUAAAUUUAGUAAUAACACAGUCUAUUUUUUAUUAUGCAAAGAAUAAUUAGAUUUCUAAAUGUUAUCCGACGUGAGUACCUGGACCUACAGGCACAAUCACCCAGGGAAGGAUGUAAGGUGAUGACUGAUGCAGAUAUUUCUCGGGUAAAGAUGUUUUUGAAACUUAAUUAAAUGCUUUUCAUUUUCAAGUAAACAGUUUCCAUGCUAAUUUCAUCAGAUGAUUAAGUUGUUCUCUGGAGAAGAGUGGUACAAUCAACAAGCAUCAAGAGCUGUAAAUCAGUCAGUCGGACGAGUUAUCCGUCACCGUCAUGAUUAUGGAGCAAUUAUCUUUUGUGAUGAAAGGUAUUUGCUUUCUAUUGCCUUUCCUUGUGAUCUUUCAUCUGAGUAUUCUCCAAGUAGUAAAUGCUUGAAACUGUUAUAUUAACAGUUUCUGUUCGAUGUGUUCCCUUCAACUCUCUUUCGGAGACAUAUUAUAUCUAGUAUUGCUUUUCUCUUCCCCUACUGAGGGGUUAAAACUGUUACUCUGGUGCUUAUUAAUACAUUGAUUUAACUGAUUAAAAGCCCCAGUUGUUAAAUUUAGCAUUUAGUGGUAAACUUGGAUGUACUACCUUAGUUUACAUUAUCAUCUGGACCUGACCAAGCAUGAAGCGAAAAGUUUUCUCAGUUUGGAAGAAUAAGACCUAAGCUGUAAACUUGGGAAGUUGAAGGCUCACAAGCGAUUAAUUAAUCAAGAUUUUUUCUUAAAUCUAGAAAAUGGAUUUAAAACAAAAAUUUGACCUUACCAGUGUAUAUUAUCAAGUAUAUAUUGUUAAGGACAAUUUGAAAUAAAAAAUGACUUAAAAUCAAAUAAAUAUUAUCAUAAGAGGGAAAUUGAAAGAAUGAAAUUACCUUGUCGAGUGAGGUUUUUGUUGACGUUACAGUACAACAACUUUAAACGCUUCAAAGAAGUAAAGUCUGCUGUAACAGAGGCUUUCAAUAUCAAAUAUGUGUGAGAGAGAGAAAGGCAAAGAUAUUAGUGAAAUAUCCCAACAAAAUUAUGUUUUGUACUCUUUGCACAUUUAUAAAUUAAUCUCUCUACUCUCUACUCUUAAUCUCGGAAAUUUAAUCUCUCUAUUCAUUUGAUUUAAUAAUUGAAAUCCAACUGAUAACAUCAUCAAAGGAUUUUCGUUAAAUUGGAUUACAUGGCUUUUUUAAUAUGAAAUAUUUACUCACAUGGCUAACUGUAUUUUGUAGAUUAUAAUAUUGUUUGCAAAUACUUAAAAUGUGUAAUAAUUUGAUCGAACAAAAAAAAGUUUACAUGAGUGGAAGGCCAAAUAAACAAAAAUAAAUAUUGAAUCUAGUAUCGUAAGAUUUUCGAUUUCGAAUCUAGAAUUGUAAAGUUCUUAGCCUUGUUUCAAAGAAAGGAGAGUGAAUGUGGGUAUUUUUUUUUUUCGGACAUAAUGUGCCCUUAAAUUGGCAAUAUAAGCAAAAUUUUCUGCUUUAAAAAUAUCACACAAUCCAAAUUAAUAGAAUUAAAAAUAGAGUGAUUAAAGUUAAAAAAUGCGAAGAGUAUAAGGACUGCAUGCAUAAUUAGACCUACAUGUAUAAAUUAAAUUUGUAAGAAAACAUCAAAACUUACUAUUGCGGGAAUAAGAAGCCAUUGUGGUUUCAUUAAUAUUAAAUCCUAGCAAAGAAAGAGACUUCAAAGUGGGGAAUAAGCCCAAUGAUUGUAAUGAGAAGCUACAACCAUCUGCAUGUCAAACAAUGCUUUAUUUCUUUAGAAUAUGAGUAAUUAACAAGUUAGGGCAAAUAAUUUAUACAUUUGCUUCAAAUGUCUAAUUACCUGUAGUGCAGGCCAUAUACAGCUCCUCCAAAUUACUCAACCCAUAUAAAUCUGAGGAGAUUCAGAAAUUGAAAAAUAGUUUAGUUCAAUUAAAGCUUAUGGAUUUAUAUUACUCAUUCAAUACUUCUUUUUUCUUCCUAAGAAAAAAAAAACAGAAGAUGGAGAGAAGGGUGAUUUUUACCUUUCAUAUCUGUUAACCCAUUAAACAGAUAGACACCUACCGACAAAGUCUUUAGAUUUGAAAGUGUAGCAAGAGAUGACAAUAUACUAUUGUUAAAACCAUUACCACUCAAAUCAAGAUGUUUCAAAUUCAUCAGCCUUAGUCCUGCACCAUUAUCAAGUAACAACAUUUUUAGUUAUUUUAUUCCAUAUAAUAUUUAUUUUUUAAAAUUUUGACACGUGUCUCUUUUUUAAAUAUUUUAUUAUAUCUCUAUAGGACACUUGUCAAUUCAAUAACUUUAUUUAUGGAGUUUAAAAUCUCCACCAGUACUAUACCAAAUAUUAUUUCCUAAGUAAUUUAUAAUAAAUUUAACAAUAACAAAAUUUUUAAAAAAUAGAUUUAAUGUUAAAUUGAAAAUUUUAAAAAAAAAUCAUAAAUACCUUGAGAUGGAAUAAAUCCAUUCACUUCAUUACCGGAUAAGAUCAACUCCUCUAAAUUGCUAAGAGCAUUUAAAUCUGAAUAUAACGUUAGAAAGGAAACUAAAAAUAAGUAUAUUUUGUUUAGCAUGUAAAAACUAAUAGUAUAUUAAUUUAAAUAUUUAAAGCAUUCAUAAUGGAAACUAUUCAUUAAGCCUACUACAUUAUUUGUGUUAGAUUUUGAACAAAGUUAUUUUCAAUUCCCACUUAAUCUCUUUUAUUAUGUUAAUAAUAUAUUAUUCUUUUGUAAAUGUGAAAGCGAGCUUUUCGAUUAAGUUUUGGCCUAACUUGAAUGGGCUUAUUCAGUUCAACUUAUGAAAUUUCUAUUGUCGAUGGUAAAUAUUAGGUUAAGUGUUCAAAUAGAGAUGAAACUUUUUAUGAGUUGUACAUGAACCAAAACUUUAAAAAUAGUUAAGUAAAAGUUAAGUCGGCCUCAUACAAGAGAGAAACCUUACACAAUGACCAAAUAAGAGUUGAGCCUUUUUAAUUGUGCUCAAAUACCAUAUAAUAUAUUUGAAAUUAUGUUUUUCUUUUCUUUUCAAAUAAUAUCUUAUCAAACCGUGUGUGUUUUAUUCUGAACACGUUAACAUUCAUCUAAUUUUUACUUUCAAAAGGACAUGACUUUUUUUUUUUACAGUUUUGAAAGGUCAUUAGGUGCUUGCAUAUAAAUAUGAACAAUUUAUUUAAUAUAUGUCUAAUUAAUUGGAAAAUGGAUGAAAAGCGUUUAAUUGUGAAAGGAAAAUUACAAAUAAAACUAAUAACAAAUCAUAUAAAAUCAAAAGAUAUCAUAUUCUUACCUUUGUAUAUAUUGCCCCCUCCAAUUGGUUAUCAGAUAAAUCCAAUGACUUCAAAUUCGAGAGCUCAAAAAGGGAUGAGAAUACGCUAUUGUUCAAGAGAUUACCAUUUAAACUAAGUACCUCAAGUUUGUUGAACUUCAUUCCUUCUUUUUUUGAAAAAAAAAAGUUAAUGUAAUUUUAUCUUAAAAAAGAUAAUAUGUGGAACAACAAUUAAUAAAGCCAAGUGAUUUACCAUGGAAUAGUGACCCAAGGCUCUCAAUUUCAUUUCCCUCUAAAUACAGCUCCUUCAACUUCAUCCAAUUAUUAUUGCUUUCUGUUCAUAUCCAAUGAAAAUAUAUGUUAGUUAAUCAAGUUAUUUAAAAAGAGAUAAUAUAACAUUUAGUCCCUAAUUUUUGUAAUUUUCUCCAACUUGGUCCUUGAACUGUUUUUUGUCCACAUUAGUCUUGGAAUUUAACAUCUUUCCAUAGCUUUGGCCCAUGAGAUGAUGUGGCACUAUGAGAUUGUGUCACGUCAUCACCUAAAUUCUUGAAAAAUUGCUAAAUUUCAAGACUAAUGUCGACCAAAAAAGUUUAUAGACUAAGUUAGAAAAAAUUACUAAAUUCAAGGACUAAAUGUUACUUUACCCUUAUAAAAACAACUAACUAAUAAGCUUUCUAUUUUUUUCAAUCAAAUUAAGCAUGAUAUUCAAAAGGGAAACAUGCCUUGUAUAUCAAGGGUUCCUUUUAGUCCGCAAUACCCCAAAUCCAAUGAUUUUAAAGAGGCAAAAUCAUCUAGUUGUGAUAGGAUCUUAUUUCCUAAACUGUUGAAAGAUAAAUCCAAAGUUUCCAAAUUGUUCAACUUUGAUAACAUCUCAAUACCUGCCAACAAUAAUAUUAAAAAAAGGGACAAAACUACAUUAAACUUGGAUAAGCUCUGCAUCAUAUAUAAUUAAAUAUUAACUUUACCGUUGGUAGGAUUUGAUCUUGUGAAUACAUUUUCAGCUAGAUUUAAAGACUUAAGCGAGGAAAGUUCACUUAAGGAUGCUAAAAUGUUAUUGUUGAAAUGAUUGUCACUCAAGUCAAGAUUCUCCAACUUGUCCAAUUUCGAAGACAACCUUUCAAAACCUACAAGGAAUAAGGAAAUAUAGUAAAUUAGCAAUGUCGGGGGACAGGGUCUUGGCUCCAAAAAAUAUGGUAAAUUUUCAGUUUAGUCCUUACAAAAACUGUAAAUUGAUGCAAUAAUAAAAUUUCAUUUCAACGGUGAACAAGUAGUUGAAAUGAUUUUUUUGACAUACAAAAUAAUAAAAAGAAAUAAAUGUUCGGAAUAAAGUUGAAAGGUAAUAAACAUUGAUUGGCAACACAGCCUGUUAUAAAAUUUCCCCUUAAAGAAAGAUUCUGUAAUUUCUCAAAAGGAAGAAACAAAGAGGCAUUAAGAUACCAAUCUAUCUUCAUGUUGCUGGAAUAAUUAAGGAAAAGAUGGGUGACUCGUCCAGUUAUUGAGUUGCAUUCAACCCUUUCCCACUCACAACAAUUUGAUGAACUCUCUUUUUCAUAUACGAAGUCAUCAUUGAUUAGAUCUUGAAACUUAUAAUCAAUGAACUCAAAGAAAGGUUUGAGUUGGAAGAGAGCAAAUCUUUCUUCCUCUAAGCAACCAUCACACAGCCCAGAACCUAACGAUAACACUACAAGAACCAUGGCUAACCAUUUCGACUCCAUCUCAGCAGUAGUUUAUGCAUUUGUAGCCAAUGCUGCAACCCCUUGUGCUUUAUAUGCUACAACUGAAAGGAAGAACCCCCUCAUGCUUCCAAGAAAUUCAUUCAUAAGGGUCCACUUAUCACUUAAAUGGUAUACUUUUUUGUUUUUCAACUUUAUUAUUAAUUAUUUUUCAUGGAAACCUCUUAUUUCUCUCCUCUAUUAAUUUGGAUGUGAUACAAUAUUGAUAAACUAGUAUCAAAUAUCCUCUACAUACCUCGGGGUUUAAAUAUGUUCUUAUCAAAUUUGAAUUGAUAAUUAAUGCUCAACUUUAAGAUAAUAGAAAGACUUUAUUGAUACAGUACUCAACAUAAUUAUAAAAUAUAUAAAUAAAUUUUUUAAAAUGAUUUAUGUUGGAUAUUAUUUAUGAUGCCUGUUUAUUGUAACUUCCUUAUGAAGGUGGAAAAUGUAGAUAUUUGUUUCGAUAGUUUGAGUUAUUAUUGAGAAGACCUUGACUUAGAUGAUAGCAUAGUAAGGACAUGUUGUUUGAUUGUGAAAUUGUAAUCUAUUUCGAAUUCAAAUAUUAUUUGAAUAUAAGAAAAGCAGAUCAAAUUUAUAGAUAUCAUCUGAAUCCAUAAUCUAAAGUACCACAUCUAAGGAAACUAAAUUUAAAAAUUCAAAAAACUUUUUUCAACAAUUAAUCUAUACUAUAAUUUUACUAUAGUUGUUGUACUUCGUGGGUUUGUAGGUCUUAGUUCAAUAGUUAUUUGUGAACUGCUGGAAAUUGUGGAAAGCUGUAGGCGACUUAAGGUAUUCCAAAGGCAAUUCAACAUUUCAUCAUUGCAGUAAUUUUCACAUACGUUGAAAUCAAGAAACUCAUUUAAAUUCCCAACAUUCCCAGUUGCAAUGGGGCUUUAACUUAUUUGCAUAUUUGAUGUUGACUUCAUUAAAUAUUGAACAUUGAUCCCAUUCCACAUAUAAGAAAAUGAUAUAAGAGAAGAGGGAAACUUCCAAGUCAAGCUUUGUUUAUAUUACAAACGUAUAAACCAAGUUUAAAACAACUAAAUAUAUUAAUAUUUAUGAUGGUAACUUUCCUAUGAAUUUUUGUUUGAAGGUGAAAAUAUGAACUUUUGUUCCAAUAGGUAGAAUUAUUAUUGAAGUGAUGGCCACGAAUUGGAUCUAUUACUAAAUAAAUUUCCAUAAAUAAAUCUUUAUACCCUUACUAUAUUAAUUAUCUAUGUAUUUUUCAUUUACUUUAUUUAUAAGAUUAAAUAUAUUUGGCUUCUUUCAAUAAAAAUCAUGUUUAACUUUGAAUCCCAUGUGAUGGCCUGAUGGCUAGGGGUGUGCACUGCCUCAAGUGUGGCCUGAGUUUGAAUCAUAUUAAUCGUGUUGAUUGUUUUGGCUUUACCUUAUUAUUGUAAUUCAGCAAAAAAUUAAUAUUUAACUACAAAAUAUUUUAAAAUUAUAUUUAAGUUAGUUAUAUAUUGAUGUUGACGUGAAUUUAUUAAAUUAUUUUAUAUAAAAUUAAUUAGUUACCAUUAUUAAAAAGAUUAUAAUUGAAAAAAUUGAUUAAAAUAUAAAUUUGAAAAAAAUUAUUAAGCCCCUAGUGCUUCCAAGAAACUCAUUCCACAAAGGGUCCAUUCAUCCCUUAAAUGGAUUACCUUUUUUCCCCCAACUUGAUUAUUGAUAAUUUCCAUGGAAAAGCCUCUUUUCCAAGUCUUCCAUUAAUUUGGAUGUGAUAGAAUACUAACAUUUACAUGACUGGUAAUCACCCACCGCUUACGCCGGGGUUUAAUGAAACAAUUUUUAUUAUUUAUUUAAUAUUAAAUUUUGUUUAAAAUUUAUUAAAUAACAAUUAAUUAAUUAAAACUGAUUAAAUAUUAAUUAAUUAUUUAAACUCUUUUUUUUUUAUCAAAUAUGCUAUGUUUUUGUUCAUUAUAAAAUUUGAAUUUAUGAAAAUAUAUGAGAACCUUAUUUAUUCGCAAGUUAUUUUAUGUAUAAUUCAUUUUAAAUUAAUUUUAAAAGUGAAUAUUCAAAUCAACCCUUGUGUCGGUAAAUAAUGUUGAGUAUGAGUUGGGUGAUUUACCCAGGCCAAGCAAGAUUUAUUGACCUCAAAUCAAUAUGAAAUCAAAUUAAAUAAUAAAAUAUUUAAUUUAAUUAUAAAAAUAUUAAUAUUCUAUAAAAAUAAUAUGUGAAGCAUAAAAUCAGAUUAUGAAAUUAGGUGAAGCUGGCCCAACUUCACGACUAGACAUGCAAACUUUGUGCAUUCUACGCUACAAGAACUAGGAAGAACCCCUCAUGCUUAAAUGGUUUACUUUUUGUGCUUUAUAUAGUAUUAGUCAAAUAAAAUGGGAACAAACGUUGAAGAAUGAGAAAAAUGGGCGACUCCAGAGUCCAGAGGCAUGGGCAUCAAAUCAUGCUGCUUGAAUGGCAGAAUAGAAAUGGGAGCAACAAAUGUUUGGGUUUUAUUUAUUAAGGUUUUGAACUUUGAGUUUGAUCAUGCUUGGGUUUGACUAAACAACUAUAUGACUAUAUGACUAAACAACUCGAGCCUUCUCAGAAAUAUUCCUCAUGUUUCACUCCGUCUAUGGAUUUGAAUAAGUUGAAGCGAUCUAAUGAUCGAAGAAAAAUGCAAUCUCAAAAUCAUGACGUUAUAAGUUCAGAAACUUAUGUUUGGAGAGUCUAGAGAAAUUAAAUUGAAACGACUUGUAUGACAUACAUUAGUUCCCUCUUUAAUUGUUGGAACUAUCUUCCCUGUAAUGAGUUCUGUUAAUUUGUCUUUUGCUGCUUUCUCUUGAAUGCAGGCUAACUCUUUUGGAUUUUCACUUUCCUAGCUCGUAGCAUUAACUGAUUCGGAUUAGGGAUUUUUAUGAAACCUUCUCUGCCUUCAGGUCAAACAGAAACUUAGUCCUGCAGCAUACAAAGAUUUUGUGGGUUAUAGGAAGGAAAUAGUCCAAAGUGGUAAAAGAUUGGUAAUCCUCUGCAAUGCAUUGGGGAGUUAUUUUCAGGACCUGAGAGGCUUCCUCUUCUUGAAAGGUAUGCAUCUACUCCAAAAUUGUAUUAAAAUUGAAGACUGUGAGCAGUUACGUUACAUUGUCAGUAAGGCAUUGUGAAAAAUAAUUUAGUUGGCUUAACCAUGUAUACAUUGAGCAGACACUUUCUGAUACUCAUCCAGUUAAUGGCAUAUUGUGCGGUUUUAGGUUUCAUUGGAAGCUUGGCAAAAUUAAUUUCCUAUUCUCAGCAUGAGUUAAUGAUUUAUAAAGCUAAGCCCAACAUUGUCUGAAAUCAUCAAAUAUGUUAGAGCCUUAAAGGCUGCAAGUGCCAUCAGAGGUCUUAUCUGCAACACUAGCAAAGAAACAAAUUGCUCGUUUACACCAUACCUAAACUACUGUCUACUGAUAUUCUUUAGCCUGUCAUUCAUUUCCAUCCCCCUUGUUAGCUUGCAACUACUAUCGAUUACUUUUACUGGAUCUUACCCUCUGUUGUCAUCUGUUACAGAUUCAAGGAUUACGUGCCUGCCAGAUAUCGUUCUUUGUAUGAGGAGUACCUCGAAAGAAGUAAAAGAAAUGCCUGAAAAUCAGAGGAACUAAACUUAUCUGGUCGAAACAGUAAUUAGACGAUGCCAUUUGCCAAUGUGAUCGAUUAGAAGUGAAACUUUGAGACUUUAGCAGCAUGAUACUUUCUAGAUCAACAAUCUUUGAAGAAACAUACAAACAUUAUGGAAGGUUUGAAUGUAGUAAACUGCAACUUUGCACAGCGAUUGGAAGCUUUUGGAUGCAUAAACGAGCAACCAAGUUGCUCAUUUGUGUGUGGAGUAAAGAAACUUAUUCAACAUGAAGGUGGUGUUACACAUAGCAAGCAAUCUUUUCAUAAUUAUUUGUUGCUACUACUGAAAUUAUGAAGGACUAGACCUGGUGACAACUUACAUUUUGUACAAAUUGGUAUCAAACCAACUGAAAUAGAGUGAAACUAAGAAUGUGGCUCGUGGGAGUUUUUGUUCAGUUCCAGAAAAGCACUUUAAAUCCAUGUCUUUACACAGUUAUUCCAUAUAAACAUGGCUUUGCAAUCGACAAUUUUAUACCCUUGUAAACUCUUUUAUCGGAAAUCGCCAUUGCUUUGCUACAUGUUUCCAGUACAAAAAUUUCUGGGGAAAUUAUCUACCACAAAAUAGUAGCAGGAAUCAGCGGCCAUUUGAAUAUAGUAAAACCAUGCUUGCCUCCAAUAAGGAUUUAUGUACAGCACAGCUGCGAUGCACAAUAGAACCAUCAUGUAACAUGCAAAGAAGCUUGCAUAGAAGGCAUCCACAUCAAUGAAACCAUGGUCUUCUUUGAUGCCAGAUGAAGCCUUCCGUGUCAAUGGUGUUGUGACCGGUGAACAAUUUUUUCCCACCAAUGAGCCACGAAGAAAAGGAUUCCCGACGUAGUUGCUUUCAUCAAAUGCUCCCAACUGUCCAAUCCUUUCAGGUGUCUUUCCAGAUAAAUUGUUGUAUGACACAUUGAAGUAUUCCAGGAAAUGUAACACCGCAAAUUCGGCAGGGAUAUUCCCUGUCAAAUUGUUGUAGGAAAGAUCUAGACUUUCCAUGUCCUUGAGGUUAGAAAAUGCUCGUGGCACUGGUCCGGUCAAGCUAUUGUGAGAAAGGUUCAAUGUGAAGAGUUUCAUAAUGUUUUUUGUCUCAAAACUAAUUUCACCGGUAAGCUUGUUGCAGGAGAGAUCAAUUCCAGACUGUUAAAGUUAGUUCCCAUGCAACCAGCUUCCCAUGCAAAGGUGGCCAUGCAGAAGAAUACGUUGCAGGCAUUCGAGCCUUGGUCUGCAGGAACUGAAGCCUUAAGCUUAAUGUUGCCGAUCCACUUGGUGUUUAUGGUUGCUUUUUGAUUAUUUUGUAAUUUAGUUCAUGUUGAACUAAGUAGGUAAAUGUUUUGGUAUUGAUUGAUUGAAAAAUCAGCAAUGCAAGUGGUACAAGCUAAUCUUGUAAGUUUCAAUGCAAAUUAGUGGUGUUAGGUAAUUGAUUAGGUGAUUACUUGUUUGUUUUACUUGUUGACUAUUAUAUGUAAUGGCUUAAUGCCUUGUUGGAGUGUUAAUGAAAAUAUCAGCUUACUUUCAUUCAAUUUUUCUCUCUUCUUCUUGUUCUUCACUAGCUAGUUUCAUUUUCUGCUUUGUUUCUGAGUUUGUUUCUUCAGCAAGGCUCGAGGCUUGCUAUCCAAGCAAGACCAAAACAGUCUGCUGCUGCCUCUUUGCACCAAAAAUUGGUAUCUAGAGCCUUUGUCUUAGUGGACCUAUUGCUUCAAAUCAAGGAACCUAAUGGCUUCUUCAGGAUUUUCACCAGCAGCCCCACCAGUCUUCAAUGGGGAAGGCUUCCACAUAUGGCUGGUAAAAAUGAAGACUUACCUGCAGGCUUUUGAUCUGUGGGAAGUUGUCAACACAGAUGCUGAGCCAGCACCACUGAGGGCCAAUCCCACAGUAGCUCAGAUCAGGCAACAUGCCGAUGAAAGGACUAAAAGGCACAAAGCCAUGUCUUGCAUCCAGAACUGUGUGUCAGAUGUCAUCUUCACCAGAAUUAUGGCCUGUGAGACUCCAAAACAGGCAUGGGAUAAGCUUAAGGAGGAGUUUCAAGGUACUGAAAAGACAAGGCAACAGCAGCUGUUGAAUUUAAGAAGGGAUUUCGAGAAUCUGAAGAUGAGGGAAGAAGAAACAGUGAAGCAGUAUGCAGAUAGAAUCAUGGUAGUGGUUAACAGCAUAAGGCUCCUUGGUGAGCACUUUGAUGAGGCAAGAAUAGUGGAGAAAGUCCUCUCCACUUUGCCUGAGAGAUAUGAGGCAAAGAUAUCCUCCUUAGAGGACUCAAGAGACCUUGCUAGCAUCUCUUUGACUGAGCUUAUCAACACCUUUUAUGCUCAGGAACAAAGGAGAGCUAGCAGAGCUGAAGACCACCAGGAAGGUGCAUUUCAAGCCAAGACAAGAGAGGCCUCGAGCACCAAUGCUCCAAGAGGCAAAAAGCUUUGGAAAAGCAGGCCUAAGCCUGAUGCUGCAAGGAGUAAUGAUCAGCCCUGCAGAUAUUGUAAAAGAUCUGGACAUCCAGAAGAUAGAUGCUGGUUUAGGCCAGAUGCAGUAUGUCAACACUGCAAGAAGAAAGGCCAUGUUGAGAGGGUUUGCAAAAACAAAACCAAGCCAAGGCAGAGCCAAUUUCAACAACCAAAUGUUGAAGCUCGAGUAGCUGAGGACAGUAAUGACCUGGAAGAGCAGGUCUUUGCUGUUUCUUGCUUAGCUACUGAGAAGAAAUGCUCAAAAGGGUGGCUACUGGACAGUGGCUGCACCAACCACUUGUCACCAGAUUCAUCUUUGUUCAAAACCUUGGACAGAAGCUGUAAAACUAAGGUUAAGGUUGGAAAUGGUCAGUUUAUAAAAGCUGAAGGAAGAGGAGAAGUGCUGAUAUGUACUCCUACAGGCAACAAAGUCAUUUCAAAUGUCCUGCUGGUACCUGAGAUUGACAGAAAUCUUCUUAGCAUUGCUCAACUGCUUGAGAAAGGCUAUUCUGUUGUGUUUAAGGACAAAUACUGCCACAUAGCUGAUCCAAGUGGAUCAAGCCUUAUGACAGUCACAAUGACUGAUAAAUGCUUUGAGGUCCAUUGGUCAAAUGACUCAAAGUCAGCAUACACAGCCUUUACAGAUGAUUCCAAGCUCUGGCAUCAAAGGCUCGGGCAUGCCAACUUCAGAUCAAUGGCUCAAAUGGCCAAAGAAGGCUUGACAGAGAACUUCACCAGCUCAGUGGAGCAUGAUGAUGUGUGUGAAGUGUGCCAGAUGGGAAAACAAGCAAGACUGUCAUUCCCAACAAACUCAGCAUGGAGAGCCACUGAAAGAUUGCAGCUGGUGCACUCUGAUGUAUGUGGACCUAUGAGGACUGAAUCACUCAGCAAAAACAGGUAUUUCAUCCUCUUCAUUGAUGAUUUUACAAGGUUUUGCUAGAUUUUCUUCUUGAAACACAAGUCUGAGGUAGCUCAAGUGUUUGUGAAGUUUAAAACUGCUGUAGAAACAGAAACAGGCUGCAAAAUAAAAUCGAUAAGGUCAGACAAUGGCACUGAGUACACUUCAGCUCAGUUCCAGGCCAUUUGCAAUGAUGCUGGCAUCAAACACCAGCUUACCAAUGUCUACACACCUCAGCAGAAUGGGGUAUCUGAAAGGAAGAACAGAAGUCUUAUGGAUAUGGCCAGAUGUCUCCUGUUUGAGAAGAAAAUGCCCAAGACCAUGUGGGCUGAGGCAGUAAACACUGCCGUUUAUCUGCAAAAUAGGCUCCUCACCAAGGCCCUUCCACACAAGACACCUUUUGAGGCAUGGUUUGGCUUCAAACCUUCAUUGGCACACCUGAAGGUGUUUGGUUGCCUGUGCUAUGCACAAAUACCAGCAGCAAAGAGGGACAAGCUCUCAAAAAGGGCUCAACCAGGUAUCCUAGUUGGCUAUAGCUCAGACAAAAAGGGCUAUAGGGUUCUGGAUCCCUUAACAUGCAAAGUUCAGGUAAGUAGAGAUGUUGUCUUUAAUGAAAAGGCAUGCUGGAAUUGGGAAAAGAAUGAACCAGAGGCAGUUUCAGAGGACCUGGUGCCUAAUCAUGCUGAAUUCGAGCACCUUGGUCCUGAAAUGGAUGUUGAUGAUGUGCCUGUGAGAGGAACAAGGCCCUUGGAUGAGAUUUAUGAAAGAGCACAGAUUGCUAUAGCAGAACCAACCAGUUUUGAAGAGGCCGAGUCUGAUGAAGGCUGGAAGCAGGCUAUGGUUGAUGAAAUCAACAUGAUACAGAAGAACCAAACAUGGGAGUUGGUCGAUAAGCCUGCUGGAAAGAAGGCCAUUGGAGUGAAGUGGGUCUAUCGAGCUAAACAAAAUGCAGAUGGCAGUCUUAACAAGCUAAAAGCCAGGCUUGUUGUCAAAGGUUUUAGCCAAAGGUAUGGUUUGGACUACUUGGAGACCUUUGCACCAGUAGCCAGACUUGACACUGUCAGAAUGAUAGUUGCUUUGGCUGCUCAAAAUCAGUGGACCAUUCAUCAGCUGGAUGUGAAGUCUGCAUUUCUCAAUGGCUUCCUAGAAGAAGAGAUCUACAUUGAGCAGCCUCAAGGGUUUGUAGUCACUGGUGAAGAACACAUGGUCUACAGGUUAAAAAAGGCCUUGUAUGGCCUGAAACAAGCUCCUCGAGCCUGGUAUGCUCGAAUCGAUUCCUACUUGCUCAGUUUGGAAUUUGAGAGAAGUGCCAGUGAACCAACUUUGUAUGUGAAGAAAAAUCAAGCUGAGACUCAGCUUAUCUUGUCACUCUAUGUUGAUGAUUUGUUAGUAACUGGAGGAGACAAAAAUAUGCUGCAUGAUUUCAAGAAGAAAAUGAUGAAAAUGUUCGAGGUGUCUGAUCUAGGCAGAAUGAAUUACUUUCUAGGAAUGGAAGUAAGACAAAAUACAACUGGAAUCUUUCUCAGCCAGAGUUCUUUUGCUAUGAAGGUCUUAAACAAGUUCUCAAUGAAGAAUUGCAAGCCAACAAGCACACCAAUGGCUGUUGGAAUGAAGCUAUCAAGGUAUGAAACUGGUGAACCAGUUUGUGAGACUAUUUACAAGAGUCUCAUUGGUAGUCUAUUGUAUUUGACUGCAACAAGGCCCGACAUUAUGUUUGCAGUUAGUGUGCUAUCCAGAUACAUGAAUUGCUGCAUAGAUCUGCACUUUCAAGCAGCAAAAAGGGUGCUGAGGUACAUCAAAGGCACCAUCAAUCAUGGUGUAAUGUUCAAAAGGGUUGAAAACAUGAAGUUAGUAGGAUAUGUUGAUAGUGAUUGGGCUGGAUCGAGUGAUGACAUGAGGAGCACAUCUGGAUACUCAUUUAGUCUUGGCUCAGGCAUGUUUUGCUGGAGUUCUAAGAAACAAAGUCUGGUGGCACAAUCAACAGCAGAAGCUGAAUAUGUUGCUGCUGCAUCUGCUGUGAAUCAAGCCAUAUGGCUUAAAAAAAUCUUGGCUGAUUUAAACCAAAACCAAGAAGAAGCAACAGAGAUUUACUGUGACAACAAAUCUGCUGUUGCAAUUGCAAAGAAUCCCAUCUUUCAUGGCAGAACCAAGCACUUCAAUAUCAAAUUACAUGUUAUAAGGGAGAUGGAAAAAGCUCAUGAAAUCGAGCUGGUUCAUUGCAAUUCGGAGGAGCAAAUUGCUGACAUUUUUACCAAGGCACUCAAUGUGCCAAGGUUUAUAAAAUUAAAAGGGAAGCUAGGCGUAACCAACAUAGAAACUAAGGAGGAGUGUUAAAGUUAGUUCCCAUGCAACCAGCUUCCCAUGCAAAGGUGGCCAUGCAGAAGAAUACGUUGCAGGCAUUCGAGCCUUGGUCUGCAGGAACUGAAGCCUUAAGCUUAAUGUUGCCGAUCCACUUGGUGUUUAUGGUUGCUUUUUGAUUAUUUUGUAAUUUAGUUCAUGUUGAACUAAGUAGGUAAAUGUUUUGGUAUUGAUUGAUUGAAAAAUCAGCAAUGCAAGUGGUAUAAGCUAAUCUUGUAAGUUUCAAUGCAAAUUAGUGGUGUUAGGUAAUUGAUUAGGUGAUUACUUGUUUGUUUUACUUGUUGACUAUUAUAUGUAAUGGCUUAAUGCCUUGUUGGAGUGUUAAUGAAAAUAUCAGCUUACUUUCAUUCAAUUUUUCUCUCUUCUUCUUGUUCUUCACUAGCUAGUUUCAUUUUCUGCUUUGUUUCUGAGUUUGUUUCUUCAGCAAGGCUCGAGGCUUGCUAUCCAAGCAAGACCAAACAGUCUGCUGCUGCCUCUUUGCACCAACACAGACAUGUAUUGAAGCAUUCUUCUCUUGUAAUUGUAGGAUCUGCUCUUUACUGUGUAUUCUAUUGAAACUUCAAUGGACGUCGAGCUACUUAUGUUGAAAUUAGAACUUCGAUGCAAAAUAUAUUGCUCUGUUACAUAGUUCAGCGCAGAAACUUUUAAACAAUAAGGAAUACCACCAGAGAGAUUGUUUUGAGAAAGAUCAAUCAAGCUUAAACGAUCCAACUUGCAUAAUUGAAUUGGAAUUUCACCCUCAAAGUGGUUUCUCCUUAAGAGAAGAUAACUUAAUUCAGAAAGAUUGCUAACCCAAUUUGGAAUGUUACCCUUCAAGUGGUUGUAGCUGAGAUCCAAUGUCACCAACCAAGAGCUAUCAUGAAAAGCAUUUGGUAACGCUCCUUGUAGCUUAUUUUUAAAUAAAUGAACUUCCCUCACCAAUACCGGCUUGAAGCAAGAUGGUAGAGUCCCAGAUAAACUGUUCAUGGAAAGGUCCAAAAAUUGAAGUUUGAGAUUGAGACUACAAAUUGCCCUUGGUAUUGAACCUUCAAGUUGAUUAUCUGCCAUGGCAACUUGUUCCAAAUUCGAAGCAGAUCCCCUCCAUUGUGGCAACCUACCAAAGAGUUGGUUCCUGCUCACAUCCAAUGCUGCUAGCUCUGACAUAUUCCAAAUCCAACUUGGGACUUCACCAUAGAUAUAGUUAUUGCUAAGAUCUAGUAUAUACAAGUCAGAGCAGUUAGCUAAGACAUUUGGGAUCAUCCCAGUGAAGUUAUUUCCGUUUAAUUCAAGCUCCAACAAGCUCGUUAGAUUAAAAUUUCCUGAGAAAAUUGUUCCUUGUAAUUUGUUAUUUGAUAAUGCAAGGAAUUCUAAUGAAGAGCAGCCCAUAGCCAUGUGCUCAGGUAUCUCUCCAGACAAUUGGUUGUUUGAUAAGUUCAAAAGAUGUAGGGAACUCAUAUCACCAUAUGAAGAGGGAAUGCUGCCAUUGAAACAAUUCUUUGACAUGUUCAAAUAAGCCAAAAAUGGUAGGUGUGCUUCAAUUCUUACUGGGAUGUUGCCACCGAAGGCAUUGUUGGAGAUAUCCAAAUAUGAUAAAGCAGAAUGCACACGCGAUGGCACUUGAAAAGGCCCUGAUAGAGAGCAAUUCACGAGAUACAGGGUCCCUAGCAUCGUGUUGUUGUCUAACAACCAAAACGGAAAUCGAUCCACCUUGAAAUAUGUGUUUGAGAGAUCGACAUACUGCAACUCACUUUGAUGGUACAAGAAUUUUGGAAAUGACCCAACACUUCCACAACAAGAUAAGCUGAUGAAACUCAAUUGGAACCUUGGAGCCGAAGAAUGCGACAUCUCAUGAUCAUCAGCAUGUAUGGUAUUGUUAUCUGCAUGGAGAUACUUGAGUUUUGAAAGGUUGAACAAGGGUCUUAUUGAGCUUGGGAUGUGAAAUUUAUUGUUUGAAACAUCCAACGAUUGGAGGGAUGUUAGACUUUCAAGGGCAGAUAUAUUUCCAGAGAACUGAUUAGAAGAGAGGUCCAAAGAUUCAAGCAAUGUUAGGCUCUGAAUGGCAGAUAUAUUUCCAGAGAACUGAUUAGAAGAGAGGUCCAAAGAUUCAAGCAAUUUUAGGCUCUUAAGGAUAGAUAUAUUUCCGGAAAACUGAUUGGAAGAGAGAGAUAACAUUUUAAGGGAAGUGAGGUUGGAGAAACACAUGGGUAAGCUACCCUUUAGAUUACAGCCAUACAUGUCCAACUCUUGGAGAUUUGUGAAUUCACAGACACCUGCAAAAGUAGUAGUAUAUAUGUAUAUAUUUAAGGAGUUUACAAAUAGGUACAAAUCUAAAUAAUAAAUAAAAUAUUUUCAAUUAAUUAGAAUAAUAAUCAAUUCAAUAUAAAAUAUUCAAGAGUGAAAAUUAGAAUAUAUUCAAAUCUAAAUCAAAAUAAAUUUAGAUAAAACUCAUACAUAAUGGGCUUUAAACUUACAAUUAUUUGGGAGAGAAUCUACAUUUGAUGAGAUUCGAAUCUAGGCAUUCAAGAUGCUAAGCCCUAAUUUUUUGCCUUUAGUGUGUUUAACUUUUUUUCUCUGGUCCAUAUGGUUUGUAGAAUUUAAAAUUUUAGCCUUUCUAGUUGUGAAAUUUGAAAUUUAAAGACUAAUUGGUGUAUUUCUAAUAAAUUUCUAUUAAAUUUGAAUAUAUGCAUUUUAAUAUUCAAAGGUUUGAUUCAAAAAAAUAGAAGUUGUUAAUUAAUUAAUUUAUUUAUUUAUAUAUAAAAUCAAAAUUAUAAAGUGGAUUUGAAUAUCCUUCUUUUAUGGCUUUAUGUGAAUAAGCAAAGUAAAUUCACAUGUAUCUAUCCAUAUCCAUUUUGAAUCCAAAUAUUAUCUGAAUUUAUAGCAUUCUAAUAUAAAAGAAGCAUAUCAAAUUUAUAGAUAUCUAAAUCUAUAAUCCGAAUUACCACAUCUAAGAGAAAUUAUAUUUCAAAAUUCAAAAAGCAGCACAUUUAUAUAUAUUAAAUCUAGAAAUAUAUAAAACUAAAAUGAUGAGUAACUGAAAAUAGAAUAUUUACCAUGCAUAGGUGGACGGUUGUUACCAUCAAUACCAGAGGCGGUCAAUUUUUUAAGAGAAAUGAGUGGUCCAAAAACUUGAAUAAAGUUUGAAGGUAAAGAUGAAUAAGACAACUCCAACUCUUCCAAACUUCUCAAAUUUAAGCCUUCUGUUCAAUAACAUUACCUGUAAGUUAUAUUUUGAAAAAAAAAUAUGGGAAACAAAGUAUAUUUAUAAAAUUAUGAAGAAAAUAAGGAUUUGAAAUUAUGAGUUUCGUUCUUUUAUUUUACAUAAAUUGAGAUGUUAGUUUUUCUGUUUUAAUUUGUCAAAAUUUGGUUAAUGUAGUUUGUGUAAAUUAAGAAGCUAGUCUAGUUAUUGGUAAUAAUAUAUAUUCUCAUCUUUACAUCCUUUUAUAAUUUUUUUUUGAAAAUAGGUCCUACAGAAUGCAUUAGUUUGACGGAAAAUUACAACGUUGAAAAACCAAUUUCUUAGAAAAACUUAAACGGCACCUUAGCAUCAUUUCAUAAAUUAAAACUACUAAAUUAAUUAAUCAAAAUUUUUUCUUAAAUCUAGAAAAUGGAUUUAAAACAAAAAUUUGACCUUACAAGUGUAUAUUAUCAAGUAUAUAUUGUUAAGGACAAUUUGAAAUAAAAAAAUGACUUAAAAUCAAAUAAAUAUGAUCAUAAUAGAGAAAUUGAAAGAAUGAAAUUACCUUGUUGAGUGAGGUUUUUAUUGAUCUUACAAUCCCACAACUCUAAACGCUUCAAUGAAGUAAAGUCUGCUGUAACAGAGGCUUUCAAUGUCAAAUAUGUGUGAGAGAGAGAAAGGCAAAGAUAUUAGAGAAAUAUCUUAACAAAAUAUAUACCAUCAAAUUACGUCUUGUACUCUUUGCCCAUUUAAAAAUUAGUUCCUCUACUCUUAAUCUCGGAAAUUUAAUCUCUCUAUUCAUUUGAUUUAAUAAUUGAAAUCCAACUGAUAACAUCAUCAAAGGAUUUUCUUUAAAUUGGAUUACAUGGCUUUUUUAAUAUGAAAUAGUUACUCACGUGGCUAACUGCGUUUUGUAGAUUAUAAUAUUAUUUGCAAAUGCUUAAAAUGUGUAAUAAUUUGAUCGAACAAAAAAAAUCACAUAAGUGGAAGGCCAAAUAAGCAAAUAAAAAUGUUGAAUCUAGUAUUGUAAGAAUUUUGAUUUUAAAUCUUAAUUGUAAGAAUUUUGAUUUAAAAUCUAGAAUUGUAAGGUUCUUAGCUUUGUUUCAAAGAAAGGAGAGUGAAUGCAGAUAUAUAUAUUUUUUAUUUUUCUGACAUAAUGUGCCCUUAACUUGGAUAUGAGCAAAAUUUUCUGCUUUAAAAACAUCACACAAUCGAAAUGAAUAGAAUAAAAAUAGAGUAAUUAAAUUUAAAAAAUGCGAAGAGCAUAAGGACUGCAUGCAUAAUUAGACCUACAUGUAUAAAUUAAUUCAUAAUAUUUAGUUUGUAAGAAAACAUCAAAACUUACUAUUGUGGGAAUAAGAAGCCAUUGUGGUUUCAUUAAUAUUAAAUCCUCCUAAAGAAAGAGUCUUCAAAGUGGGGAAUAAGCCCAAUGAUUGUAAUGAGAAGCCACAAUCAUUACCUGCAACUGCAUGUCAAACAAUGCUUUAUUUCUUUAGAACAUGUGUAGUUAACAAGUCAGGGCAAAUGAUUUAUACAUUUGCUUCAAAUGUCUAAUUACCUGAAUUGCUGGCCAUAUACAGCUCCUCCAAAUUACUCAACCCAUAUAAAUCUAUUAAUCCAUUGCAUUGAGAGAUAUCUAUCCUCAAAGUCUUUAGAUUCGGAAGUGUAGCAACAGAUGACAAUAUACUAUAGUUGAAACCAUUACCACUCAAACCAUUACCACUCAAAUCAAGAUGUUUCAAAUUCAUCAGCCUUAGUCCUGCACCAUUAUCAAGUAACAACAUUUAUAGUUAUUUUAUUCCUUAAAAUAUUUAUUUUUUAAAAAUUUGACACGUGCCUUUUUUUAAUAUUUUAUUAUAUCUCUAUAGGACACUUGUCAACCCAAUGACUUUACUUAUGGAGUCUAAAAUCUCCACCAGUAAUAUACCAAAUAUGUUCCCUAAGUUUAUAAUAAAUUUAACAAUAACAAAAUUUUUAAAAAAUAGAUUUAAUGUUAAAUUGAGAAUUUUAAAAAAUCAUAAAUACCUUGAGAUGGAAUAAAUCCAUUCACUUCAUUACCGGAUAAAAUCAACUCCUCUAAAUUGCUGAGAACAUUUAAAUCUGAAGAUAACAUUAGAAAGGAAACUAAAAAUAAGUAUAUUUUGUUUAGCAUGUGAAAACUAAUAGUAUAUUAAUUUAAAUAUUUAAAGCAUUCAUAAUGGGAACUAUUCAUUAAGCCUACUACAUUAUUUGAGUUAGAUUUUGAGCAUUCCCACUUAAUCUCUUUUAUUAUGUUAAUUAUAUAUAUAUAUUUCAAAAUAAUAUUUAUUCUUUUGUAAAUAUGAAAGCGAGUUUUUCGAUUAAGUAGUGAAAUUUUUAUUGUCGAUGGAAAUAUUAGGUUAAGUGUUCAAAUGGAGAUGAAACUUUUUAUGAGUUGCACAUGAAUCAAAACUUUAAAAAUAGUUAAGUAAAAGUUAAGUCUGCCUCGUACAAGAUAAACCUUACACAAUGACCAAAUAAUAGUUGAACCUUUUCAAUUAUGCUCAAAUAAGAAUUUUUCAAAUACCAUAUAAUAUAUUUGAAAUUAUUCUAAACACGUUAGCAUUCAUCAAAAUAUUUUUACUUUCUGCAAAUAAAUAUUAACAAUUUAUUUAAAUAUGUCUAAUUAAUUGGAAAAUGGAUGAAAAACAUUUAAUUGUGAAAGGAAAAUUACAAAUAAAACUAAUAACAAAUCAUAUAAAAUCAAAAGAUACCUUAUUCUUACCUUUUGUAUAUAUUGCCCCCUCCAAUUUGUUAAAGAAUAAAUCCAAUGACUUCAAAUUCGAGAGCUCAACAAGGGAUGAGAAUACGCUAUUGUUCAAGAAAUUCAGUCUUAAACUAAGUACCUCAAGUUUGUUCAACUUCAUUCCUUCUUUUCCUGAAAAGAAAAAAAAGUUAAUGUAAUUUCAUCUUAAAAAAGAUGAUAUGUUGGAACAACAAUUAAUAAAGCCAAGUGGUUUACCAUGGAAUAGUGACCCAAGGCUCUCAAUUUCAUUUCCCUCUAAAUACAGCUCCUUCAAGUUCAUCCAAUUAUUAUUGCUUUCUGUUCAUAUCCAAUGAAAAUAUAUAUUAGUUAAUCAAGUUAUUUAAAAAGGGAUAAUAUAACAUUUAGUCCCUGAAUUUUGUAAUUUUCUCCAACUUGGUUCUUGAACUGUUUUUUGUCCACAUUAGUCUUGGAAUUUAACAUCUUUCCAUAGCUUUGGUCCAUGAGAUGAUGUGGCACUAUCAGAUUGUGUCCUGUCAUCACCUAAAUUAUUGAAAAUUUUGCUAAAUUUUAGGACUCAUGUCGACCAAAAAAGUUUAUGGACUAAGUUAGAAAAAAUUACUAAAUUCAAAGACUAAAUGUUGCUUUACCCUUAUAAAAACAACUAACUAAUAAGCUUUCUAUUUUUUUUCAAUCAAAUUAAGCAUGAUAUUCAAAAAGGAAACAUGCCUUGUAUAUCAAGGGUUCCUUCUAGUCCACAAUACUCCAAACGCAAUGAUUUUAAAGAGGCAAAACCAUCUAGUUGUGAUAGGAUGUUAUUUCCUAAACGGUUGCCAGAUAAAUCCAAAGUUUCCAAAUUGUUCAACUUUGAUAACAUCUCAAUACCUGCCAACAACAAUAUUAAAAAAAGGGACAAAUCUACUUUAAACUUGGAUAAGCUCUGCAUCAUAUAUAAUUAAAUAUUAACUUUACCGUUGGUAGGAUUUGAUCUUGUGAAUACAUUUUCAGUUAGAUUUAAAGACUUAAGCGAUGAAAGUUCACUUAAGGAUGCUAAAAUGCUAUUGUUGAAAUGAUUGUCACUCAAGUCAAGAUUCUCCAACUUGUCCAAUUUCGAUGACAACCUUUCAAAACCUACAAGGAAUAAGGAAUUAUAGUAAAUUAGCAAUGUCGGGGUACAGGGUCUUGGCUCCAAAAAAUAUGGUAAAUUUUCAGUUUAGUCCUUACCAAAACUAUAAAUUGAUGCAAUAAUAAAAUUUCAUUUCAGCGAUGAACAAGUAGUUGAAAUGAUUUUUUUGACAUACAAAAUAAUAAAAAGAAAUAAAUUUUCGUAAUAAAGUUGAAAGGUAAUAAACCUUGAUUGGCAAUACAGCCGGUUAUGAAAUUCCCCCUUAAAGAAAGACUCUGUAAUUUUUCAAAAGGAAGAAACAAAGAGGCAUUAAGAUACCAAUCUAUCUUCAUGUAGCUGGAAUAAUCAAGGAAGAGAUGGGUGACUCGUCCACUUAUUGGGUUGCACUCAACCCUUAUCCACUCGCAACAAUUUGAUGAACUCUCUUUUUCCGGUUUUGACUCAUAAUCUAGAUCUUGAAACUUAUAAUCAAUGACCUCAAAGAAAGGUUUGAGUUGGAAGAGAGCAAAUCUUUCCUCCUCUAAGCACCCAUCACACAGCCCAGCUCCCAAGGAUAACAGUACAAGAACCAUGGCCAACCAUUUCAACUCCAUCUCACCACUUUAUGCAUUUGUAGCCAAUGCAGCAACCCCUUUAUAUGCUAAAAGAAAAAGGAAGAACGCUUCAUGCUUCCAAGAAAUUCAUUCACAAUCGCUUAAAUUGUUUACUUUGUUUUUCAACUUUAUCAUUGAUAUUUUCAUGGAACCCUCUUAUUUCUCUCUUUUUUCCACAUUAAAGAUACACAUGUUAAUGCAUAUGGCUAAUAAGGUGUAUAGUCAGUCAAUCCCGCGUGGACCGCUAUCUUUUCUUUGCUUUCGUUUCAUACACAGCGCAGACUCCUCCAAAUUCAUGUGCCAUUGUUUCUUGUCUUUCAUCAUCCUGAAUGCAUCCACAGUGGUUUCUUCAGUUUCUGAUUGUUGCUGCUUUGCUGAUUUAUUGUGAUAAAAUAAGUUUUAUUAUCAGGAGAAAACCAUUAAAAAAUUAAUGUAUUAUUAAAAAAAAUUAAAUAAGACCAAAUAGGAAUAUAGUUAACAAUCAUUGUUUAAUACAAACAUAAUAAUUAUUUUUUCAUUUAGAAUUCAGCACCAAACAAAAUAAUAUACCUUUGUUAAAACAAUGAAUGAUAUUUUUAAAUAGUAAAUAUUAACUUUGUUUAAAUUUGGCUUUAUAUAAUUUUUUAAUAGUAUAGUGAUUAAAUUGAUCCAUUUAAUAGUAGAAGGAUCAGUUUGAUUUGAUCGCUAUAACAGAGGGACCUACCAAGUACAUUCACCCUUUUUUAUAUAUAUGGUUUGAUUAUACUAGAUGUCCCAAAACUACGAUCUAUGUUUUAAAUUAGACUUCAAAUUUCAAGAUAUUCUAAUUAAGUCAAUAGAUUAUCAAUAUUUCCAUCAAUCUGGGCAUCAUAAAGAGAAGUAAAUAUUAACUUAGAUAUGAUAUGGAUCAUAUUUAAAAUAUAUGAAUAAAAUUUUAAUGACAACUUUGAUCUAACAUGUUAAAAAAAAAAAGAAAAAAAGAACUCUCUCUUAAAUUUUAAUGACAUUAUUUUAUAUGAAAGACCUUAUUCAUACAACAUUCAACAUGAUUCUUAAAUAUAUACGCAAUGAAAUAUACUAAUAUUCAACAUUCAAAUAGCAUAUAUAUUCAAAAGCAAAUAUUGAAAAUUUCUUAAUAGAUGAGGAUACAAUUCCUUUUCCUUGGUAGUGUAGUUAUAAUACAAGAAGCAUAGCCAACCAUUUUGACUCCAUCUUAGCACUUUAUGCCCUCAUGCUUCCAAGAUACUCAUUCCGAGAGGGUGUAUUAGAAUGAGGAAUUUUAUUUUUAUCAAAGUUUUUAAAAAUUUAAAAGAGAAUUUACUUGUUUAGAUAAAAAAUUUGGAUAAAAAAUUUAAAAUUUGUAAUUAAUUUCAAGAAAGGAUUUAAUAGCUCAAAUUUUCAGAGGUGGUUUUUUAAAAUACAUUAUAAUUUUAUUUCAUUUAAUAAACAUGGUUCCAGUAUAUGAUAAAUACUACAACUUCAAAAAAUUAAUAUAUUUUUAACAAUUUUAUUUUAUUAAAAAUAUUUAUAAAUUUUACAAAUAUUUUUAUAUUAAUAAUGACUAUUGUUUAUUUUUAAUGUAAUUAUUCUUUAGUUCAUAAAAAAAAUCCAAUAACUCAAUUUUUGUUAAAACAAUUAUUUAUGUUAUCAAAUAAUUCUUUAAUUCGUAAAAAUCCUCAAUUAAAUUUAGUAAUAACCCCAGCUCUCAACUUAACUUCCUUCCAAUAACACAAUCUAUUUUUUAUUAUGCAAAGAAUAAUUAGAUUUCUAAAGGUUAUCCGAUGUGGGAAUGUCCCAAUUUCCAACCAUAAAUAAUUUAAAGGUAUAAUUAAGAAAGUCAAUUUUAAACUUUGUUAUAUCAAAUUACAUUCUCUUUUAAUUUUGCUAAUUAACAAUUUAAUAUUUAUGGGUUUUUUAAAUUUACAACCCUUAAAUAGGAGGAUAAACACACUUCAAUAUGUUUAAACUCACGUUUUCCUAUGCUAACAAUGUUGUCAAUGCUAAUCGAGCUAAAACUUAAUCAGCUUGUGAUUUUUUUAAAAUUUUUUUACUGAAGAUGUUUAAUAAUAAUCUUUAGAAAUUCAUUUUUUAAAACUUAUAAUAAUCUUUAAUAAUAAACGUGCAAACAAAAUUCUUUCCUUUUUUUUGGCCUUUUAUCUUUUACUUUUCCCAUCAUUUCAUUUUUUUUUUCAUCUUGAAAGCACUAAAAACAAUCGUUGGAUACAUAGGUUAGGCUAAGCUACAGUGCCUCACAUGUGUAUCUUGUUUUUAUAAUUUUUAAGGGAUAAUUAAUUUAUUAAUUUUUGGUCCUUUAACUUAGUAAUUUUGUUUACUUUGUCACUUAUACUUUCUUUUUGUCCAUUUUAACAUUUAAACUUAACAAUUAAAUUCAUUUUGGUCCUUGAACUUACAAAUAUAAAAGUUUGAUGUUAUCACACAUUAAGAUUAUGCUGCAUGUAACAGCUCGAUUUUCAGUGGCAUCGGAAAUAAUAGUUCGAGGCCACUAAAUCCGGAAAAUAAGUUUGUAAAUAUUAUUAUGUAAUAUUUAUGGGUCAAAUAUGAUUUUAGAAAGAUUUUUUUUUGAAUUAAAAAUUAGUGUUUUAUGAAGAUUUAUUUGGUUAAGUGGUUUUAGAAAAUGAGCUGUUCUAUAAGCCAAGCCGUAAAUAUUUUUAUAAAUAUUUACGGAGUGUCAUUAAGGUGGUAUUAAAGUUUUAUUAAGGUGGUAUUAAAGUUUUGAUAGUUAAUUAAUUAAAAAAGACUAAAUUGCAUAAAGAGUAAAAAUCGAAUUAUGGAUUAAGGAAAAAUUAAAGGGAUCAAAGAAGAAUUAUGCCAUUACUUAAAGUUGAGGAGGCAUAAGUAGAUAUUUAUUUAAAAAUCUAAAGUUAUAAUAUAAUAUAAUAUAAUAUAAUAAUAUUACUUAAAAGUUUAAGUGUAUAUAUAUUAUAUUAUAUUAUAUUAUAUUAUAUUAUAAAAACAAACAAAUAGAAAAUAAGGAAAGAAACAGAAUUGAAAAACGAAACAGACAAAGAGAAAGGAGAAAAAAAAAGAAAAAAAAGGAGAAUUGAGAUUUUUGAGGUUCUAGUUUAAUUUGGUAAGUCAAAUUAGUCAUUUUUCUUAUAAUUUUGAUGUUUUUGGAAUCCUAGAAUAAAAUACUACUUGUUUUAAGUUGAAAAUUUGAAAGUUAGUAAAUUUUUAGAUGUUGUUCAUGUUGAAUAAAUUGAAGAAUUAUGGAUUAAACUGAUUGAAUUUCCAGUUAGGAGUUAGUAAAGGAUUAAUUUGUAAAAUAAAACAUAAGUUUUGAAUUAAUAGGGACUAAUUUGAGAGAAUUUCAAAAUUAGGGAUUUAUGGUGAAAAUAGAGAGUUAAAUUAGUUUAAAGUGGGAAUGGAAUGAAAAUAUGAAAUUAGUUUUGAGAAUAAAAGUUAGUCUCGAUUCAGGGACUAAAUUGGAAUUUAGGAAAAUAUUGAGUAAAAAUUAAAAUAUUUAAUGUGAGAUUGAAUGGUGUUGUAUUGAUGAUUUUUUAAUUGUUUUAAUUCUGUAGCCAGCAUCGUAUCGGAAUUCUCGACUAAAAAGGGGAAAAAUAUAGUUGACAAGGAAUGGCCCGGAAUUCCUGGUUUGUAUUUCUAUAAUCCGAAUCUAAUUAUUAAUUGUUGUAUUUUGAUUAAAUGUUAUGGUAAGUGAUUGAGGUGAGAAUUAUUGUGUUUUACAAUUGAAAUGGAUUGUUUUGGUAUGUGAUGAAAUUAUAUUGGUUGAAUUGAAUAGGAAUAUAUAUAUUAUGAAUAUAUAUGUGUAAAUGUGAAAUUGUGCAAAUAUGAUAAUUGGAUUAUUUUCUAUAUGUAUAAAAUUCAGUUUUAAUGCCCAAGUAGAUGAAAUUUAGAACUACUGGGAUAUUAGUGGCAUGCCAUUAAGGAACUUUAGUGCACUCUCUGAUUAUUAGCACGUUGGUGCUCUUUAAUUACUAGCACGACAGUGCUCUCCGUUUAGCACAUCUGUGCUUUCUGUUUAGCACUUUAGUGCUCUCUGUUCAUUAGUGCAUAAUAAUGCACCUCUGUAUUUGUUCCGUAUAUCCGGUGUGUUCUAUAAAAUCUACUUUGGGCUAAGAAUAUCAGAUAGUAAACUGAAAAUAGAAUGUGAAAUAUGUUGUAAAUACAUGGAAUACACGAGUUAUAUAUUUAUAAAUUGAAUGUGGAAUGGAUAGUGCCAUUGUUUAAAUGAUACGUGAAUAAAUUAUGGAAAUGUAUUAUAUAUUUAGCAAGUGAUGAAAAUUGAGUAUUGUGUGAUUUUAAAUGUUCAAUUGUGCUUAACAUUUUAUUAUAUAUUUUAUUUUUUAUUUUUAAAUAUUCAGAUUAUAGAAAUACCACUGAGUUUUUACUAAACGUACGAUUUUGUUUUCCUUGCGCAGGUUAGUACUUAAGUUUGAUCACCGAUUCAGCAUCCAACAACGAUCCCGAACUCAAAUAUGGUGAUGUUUAUUUCAUUGUGUCGGCAUGUACCUAGAGUGUCUAAAUAAUAGUUAUUUGGUGAUUUGAUUGUAAAUGAGUUAUAAGAUUAAUUUUGGAGAGUUUAUAAUUUGGAUUAAAAUGAUGCUUUGAAGUCUUGUUUUGAUGAUAUAAAAUGUUUGAGAUUUCUGUCUGUUUGAUCUGUAAUCUUCGGUAAUGCUUCGUAACCCGGUUCCAGCGAAGGAUACGGGUUGGGGGUGUUACGCUGCAUCAUUACUUGAAAUUUUUUUAAAAAAAGUAUAUAUAAAUUUUCAGGUGAUAAUGCGGUAUAAUCUUAGAGUAUCACAUUUAGUAUUUUAAUAAUCAAAUCGAUUGUUGAAUAGGUCAAACUACUAGUUCUCGAUUCAACCAAUUCAAUCAGUUCGAUUAUCGAACCAACAAUAAUUAAAUAAAUAAUUAAAAUUCAUAAAAAUCUUAAAAAGUUUUAAAAAAUUAUUAAAUCGGUUCAACUAUCUAUUUUGUCUUGGUUUUUAUUUUUACUAAUUUCUAGCCAUUUUCGAGUCAAUCAAUUCAACCCUUUUGUUUGGUCUGCUAUAUCGAUCAGUUUUUGGGUUGUCCAAUUUAAUCUUGUUCUAGUAACACUGAUCAUUUAGAGUAACAUGAUAUAAUUUAAGUAUUAUUUAUGACAAAAAAAUUAGAUAACAAUUUAAGAAAAAAGUAUAAUUUUGGUACCACUUUUAUGGUUUAACUAAAAAAAGUUUAUAAAAACAAGAUACACAUGUUAGGCACUGUAGCUGACCAUAACGUAUGUGUCAAAUAAUUUCUUUUUAAUGCUUUAAAGGAAUAAGUCAAAAAGCAAAAGAAACACAAAGGAAAGAGACUUUUCUUCUUUUCCUUUUGCACUGAAAAUAUUUUUAUUAAAAAAUUAUAAAAAUUUUAAAUUGAUUCACAAGUUACUUUAUGCAUAAUUCAUUUUAAAUUGACCUUAAAGUGAAUAUUCAAAUCAAUCUUUAGUGUUGAGUAUGAGUUGGGGUGAUUUACUCAGACCAAGCAAGAUUUAUUGACCUAUAUUGUGUUUACGGUUGAUUGAAUUGAGGUAUUUGGUUUAUUAACAAGAGGAGCUUGCUUGUUAGCAUUUAAUAUUUGGUUUACCAACAAGUAAGUUCUUCAUCUUAUUGUGGAUUCAGUUAGGAGUUUAACAAUAGUAUAUAGAUAUACAACUAAUAAAAUAAUAAAGUGUAAAUAAUAAAUAUAAAAUGUAUAAAAAUUGUUGAAAUUUUGACACUAAAAAUAAAAGAAUUACAGAGAAGAAACAAGAAAAUAUAUUAUAUUAAUAAGUAUUAAAUCUUCUAGAAAGAAAAUAUAUUUUGUAAACUUAACUUGCAAGCAAGCUCUUUUAAUCCAGUUCGUAAUUUUAGUUUGCCAAAGUAAUGAGCUUGCCACUUUUUGUGAGUCCGCCAAUAUUAAAGGAUUCGCCAACUUUGCAUAUUGUAUGAACAGUUAUCUUGCAACACUCCUCCUAGGCCUUCAUGCUGCGAACACCAAUUUUAUCCCUUAACUCUUUAAGCAUCAUCUUUUCAAGUGGUUUGGCUAGAAUGUCUAGAAUGUCUUCAAGUUUGCACCUUGCCUUGUUCACAAGCUUGUACUCUGACGAGCUCGCAUUCUGGUGUUCUUGCACUUUUGCAGCACGUAUUUCAUUUUGUUUGCAAGUUGUACUUUCAUAGCUCACACAUUUUUCAACUCAUGGUUUUUUUUCGAGUUCGCAACUUGCAUAUUGGUGAGCUCGCAAGCUCACACUUCAUCUUGCUGCUUGCUAUUGCAUGAGUGACCAAUUUGCAACACUCUUUCUUAACCAUCUUGCAGUAAACUCCAAUGUUGUUUUCUCAUACAAAUUCUUCAAAAAUUGUAGGCUCUAAUACUAUUAAGUCACAUUCGUGAUAAGUUUCAACAAUAGGCCUGAUGCUUUUAACAACAAGAUAAUUAAAGCCUUCAUUUUCAUCUUUAUCUCAAACUUUACUUAUCUUCUCAGCCGAUUUUGACUUGCACACUUGACUAAGGGAAUUAUAGUUCACAUGUCUCUUUAUUUUGUGUCAACUAUAUGAUUCAUCCAUUGAAUUGGUGUAGGCUCUUGAAGCCAUUGAGUUCUAAUCCAGCACAAAACUUUUAUUAUUCAUUGAGACCGUGACCACUUCCUAUCCUAAGAAUCAAAUAUAGUGCAACAUUUAUCUUUGAAAACAACAAUGUAUUUUUUCUCCAUCAAUUGAUCAAUGCUAAGGAGAUUAUGAUCUAUUUCAAGAAUUAAAAGCACAUCUCUAAUUACUUUAGUACCUGUUGGAGUGUUGAUCAGCAUAUCCCUCUUUCCCUUAGCUUUAAUAAACUGUCCAUUUCUAAUUCUAACUUUUGAAAUGCAACUUCUGUCAAUCCUCUUGAAGAUGCUUUCAUCUAAAGUCAUGUGAUUUGUGCAUCCACUAUUAACAAGCCAGUUCUUUCUAUUUUUGCUAAAGGAUUCACAUGGGGUAGCAAGUUGGGCUUUGUAGGAGGGUUCGCAGGAUUUUGCAAACUGUGCUUCGCAUGAUGCUGCGAACAUGAAUUCUUCUUGACUUUAUUUAGUAUUCUGAGCCUGAGUGUUUUGUUGUUGUACGUGCCCCUUAUUCUUGCACACCCUCUUCAUAUGACCAAAUUUUUUAUAGCUUAUAUAUUGAAUAUAUGGCUUAAACAAGCAAUACCUUUUCGAAUGAUUUGUCUUUUUGUAGUGAGAGCAUAGUGGGUUUUCUUCCUUGCCACCAUCUCUCCAUCUAUCCUCUUUCUUCUCUGUCCAACUUUUCUUACCCUUAUGUUUUUGGCGGUUAACAUAAUCAAUACUCAUGGCUCGCAGUGCUUCUUUUUCUGCGUGCUCCCAAUGCCUUGAUUUCUCUUUUUUGCUCUUGAGCAUACAUGAAAUUUAUUAAUUCUAAAAAAGAGAUACCUCUCAGGGAGUGUUGUUAUGACCUUCUCAACGACCUUACUAUCUACAAAAUCUUCCCUAAGUAACCUUAUGUUAUUUGCAAUCGACAUAAUUAUGUUUGCAUAUUGCUUCACUGUCUCAACAUUCUUCACCUUCAAAUUCUCAAAAUCGCUCUUGAGAUUAAUGAUUUGUUGUUGUUUGGUCUUAUUCGAACCAUGCAACUCCUCAUUUAGCUUAUCCCAAGCUUAUUUUGGAAUCUCACAGGCCAUAAUGCGUGUGAAUAUGACAUUUGAAAUGCCAUUCUAAAUACAAGACAUCGCCUUGUAUCUUUUAGCUCUCACGUCACUAUGGUGUUCAAUCUGAGCGACUAUAGUGUUGUCUCUCAAAUGUGUGAGCUUAAUGUCAAUAUUCACAACCUCCCACAAGUUAUAAGCCUGUAGGUAGGUCUUCAUCUUAACAACCCUUAUAUGACAGUCUUCACCAUUGAAAACAAACAGUGAAGGUGGUGAGAAGCUAACAGAAACCACGUAUAACUCAAAAAGAACAACAAUGACCCUUAAGAAGGUAACUUUGAUACCACCCUUGGAAUUUCGACACAAAAGAAGAAAGAAUUACAGAGAAGAAAUGAAAAUUAUAGCAACAAAACUGUCUGCUAAUGUUUUUUAUAUUUCACUCUGUUUUUGAACAAUGAAACAGAGAUAUUUAUAAGAAGAAAAAUUUCUAAAUAAGGAAAAAAACUAAAAUUUUAUGCUAAUAAAUGUUAAAUAUAUUAUAUUAAUAAGUACUAAAUUUUCUAGAACAAAAAUAUAUUUUGUAAACUUAACUUGCGAGCAAGCUCUUUAGAUCCAAUUCGUAUUUUUAGUUCACCAAAAUAAUAAGCUUGCCACUUUCUGCGAGUCCACCAAUAUUAAAGGAUUCACUAGCUUUGCAUGCUGCGUGAACGGUCAUCUUGCAACCAAAAUAUUAUAAUAAAAUUUUAGUUGAAUGAUACAAAUUAAAAUGCAAUUACAAAUUACAAUAAUUCAAAAAGAGUAUUUAUUGAUAAACCACCAUUUUAAUCAUAGAUAAAAGAAAGAUAUUAACAUAAAUUUUUUUUUGUUCAUACUUGCACAAUUGCAGUCAAAAUAAAAUGAGAACAAAAGUUUAACAAAGAACAAUUAAUGAGAUUCAAGGUCUAAGGUAGCUGUCACCUAAAUAAUAACAUUAAACUUGAAGAUUGAAUUCAUGAUGCUUUUGCUUUCCAUGUUUCUUCCAUAAUGUGAGCAAUGGCACUACAUUGUCAGUUAAGCAAAAGUGUUGGUGCAAGAGGCAGCAACAAGCUGAUUUCAGCUUGCUUAAAUAGCAAGUCUCGAGGCUUGCAGCAGAAACAAUCAAAAACUUACAAUGGAAAACAGAAAAGAAAGAGAGAGAUUUGAAUGAAAAUGAGCUGAAUUUUCAUUAACAUAUUAAGAAGACAUGAUGCCAAUACAUAUAAGGGAUUACAUUAGCAAAACGAACAAAUUACCACCUAAUAACUUACCUAACACCACUAAUUUGCCUAGUAACUUGGUAAACUUGUUUGAAUACAUAAACAGCUACCUAAACUUGUCAUUCAUCACUUAGUUACAUCAAAAUGCAGCUACCAACUAAGUUUGAUCCUAACUAAAUACAAAACAUUCAUUUAAAGAAACUAAAUGAAUAGCUUCAGCUUGCUGCACCAAUUUGUUGUUGAAGCACGUUCCCUGCAUGGCCACCUUUGCUGCUACAUGGGAGCUGACUUCAACACUCCUCCUCAGCUUCUAUGCAGCAGACUCCUAGUUCCCUCUUUAGGCUUAGAAAUCUUGAUACACCAAGAGACUUUGUGAAGAUAUCAGCAAUCUGAUUUUCAGAGCUGCAAUGAAUCAGCUCAAUUUCUCGAGCUUGUUCCAUCUCCCUUAUCACAUACAGUUUAAUAUCGAAGUGUUUUGUCCUACCAUGGAAGACAGGAUUUUUUUGCAAUAACAACUGCUGACUUGUUGUCACAAUGUAUCACCGUUGCUUCAUUCUGCUGUAGGUUUAAAUCACUCAAAAUUUUUCUCAGCCACACAGCUUGAUUAACAGCAUUAGCAGCUGCUACAUACUCAGCUUCAGCUGUUGACUGAGCCACCAUUGUUUGUUUUCUUGAGCUCCAACAAAUCAUUGCAGAGCCAAGUGUAAAAGCAUAACCAGAGGUGCUCUUCAUGUCAUCUUUUGAACCAGCCCAAUCGCUGUCUGUAUAGCCAAUCAAUUUCAACUCCUUGACCCUUUUGAAACAUAUACCAUGGUUCAAGGUACCUUUGAUAUACCUCAGAACCCUUUUUCCUGCUUUAUAAUGCUGCUGAUUACAGCAAUGCAUGAAUCGUGACAGCAUGCUCACAGCAAAUAGAAUAUCAGGUCUUGUUGCUGUCAAAUACAACAAACAGCCAAUAAGGCUUCUAUAAUCUGUUUCACAGACAGAUUCAUGUUCCUCUUGGCUCGAUAGCUUCAUGCCAAUAGCCAUUGGUGUGCUCAUUGGUUUACAAUUCUCCAUUGAGAAUUUAGCCAGCACUUUCAAGGCAAAUGUCUUUUGUUUCAAGAGGAUUCCUCCUUCUACUUGAUUGACUUCCAUUCUUAGGAAAUAUGUCAUCAAUCCCAGGUCUGACAUCUCAAACAUUUCCUUCAUUUUUGUUUUGAAAUCAGCCAACAUAAACUUGUCUUCUCCAGUCACUAGAAGAUCAUCAACAUACAGUGAUACAAUAAGCUGUGUUUCAGCUCCAUUCCUCUUAACAUAGAGUGUUGGCUCACUAGCACUCCUUUCAAAUCCCAAACUGACCAGGUAUGAGUCAAUUCGAGCAUACCAGGCUCGAGGGGCCUGUUUUAGGCCAUACAAGGCCUUUCUUAGCCUAUACACCAAAUGUUCCUUACCAGGCAUUAUAAAACCUGGGGGUUGCUCGAUGUAUAUCUCCUCUUCUAAGAAUCCAUUGAGGAAUGAAGACUUGACAUCCAUUUGGUGGAUUGUCCACUGGUUCUGAGCAGCAACAGCAAUCAGCAAUCUGAUUGUAUCGAGUCUGGCUACUGGAGCAAAUGUUUCCAAGUAGUCCAAACCAUACCUUUGACUGAAGCCCUUCACAACUAGCCUGGCCUUUAGCUUGUUUAGACUUCCAUCCGCAUUGUUCUUCAUUCGAUAGACCCAUUUUACACCAAUGGUCUUUCUGUUGGCAGGCUUUUUAACCAACUCCCAUGUCUGGUUCUUCACAAUCAUGUUGAUUUCAUCAACCAUAGCCUGUUUCCAACCUUCAUCUGCUUCAGCUUCUUCAAAACUACUAGGUUCUGCUAUAGCAGCUUGUGCUCUUUCAUAAAUCUCAUCUAGGGGCCUUGUGCCUCUCACAGACGCAUCAUCAACAUCCAUUUCAGGACCAAGGUGCUCGAGUUCAGCUUGAUUAGGCACCAGGUCUUCUGAAGCAGCUUCUGGUUUACUCUUUUCCCAUUUCCAGCAAGCCUUCUCAUCGAAGAUGACAUCUCUGCUCACUUGGAAUUUGUUUGUCAAAGGAUCCAGCACCCUGUAGCCCUUCUUAACUGAGCUAUAGCCUAUAAGAACACCUGAUUGAGCCCUUUCAGAGAGCUUGUCUCUAUUUGCUGCUGGUUUUUGUGCAUAACACAGACAACCAAACACUUUCAGAUGUGCCAAUGAAGGCUUGAAAUCGAACCAAGCCUUGAAAGGUGUCUUGGAUGCAAGAGCUUUGGUAGGAAGCCUAUUUUGAAGGUAGACAGCAGUGUUUACUGCCUUAGCCCACAUGGUCUUGGGCAGUUUCUUCUCAAACAACAGGCACCUGGCCAUAUCCAUCAAGCUUCUGUUCUUUCUUUCUGAUACCCCAUUCUGCUGAGGUGUGUAGACAUUUGUAAGCUGGUGUUUGAUACCAGCAUCAUUGCAAAUGGCUUGAAACUGAGCUGAAGUGUACUCAGUGCCAUUGUCUGACCUUAUCGAUUUCAGCUUACAACCUGUUUCUGUCUCUACUGCAGUUUUAAACUUCACAAACACUUGAGCUACCUCAGACUUGUGUUUUAAGAAGAAAAUCCAGCAAAACCUUGUAAAAUCAUCAAUGAAGAGGAUGAAAUACCUAUUCUUGCUGAGUGAUUCAGUCCUCAUCGGGCCACAUACAUCAGAGUGCACCAGCUGAGUCUUUCAAAAGCUCUCCAAGCUGAGUUUGUAGGAAAUGGCAGUCUUGCCUGUUUCCCUAUUUGGCAAACUUCACACACAUCAUCAUGCUUUAUUGAGCUGGUAAAGUUUUCUGCCAAGCCCUCUUUGGCCAUUCGAGCUAGUGAUCUGAAGUUGGCAUGUCCGAGCCUUUGAUGCCAAAGCUUGGAAUCAUCAACAGAAGCUGUGUAUGCUGACUUUGAGUCAUUUGGCCAGUGCACCUCAAAGCAUUUGUCAGUCAUUUUGACUUUCAUAAGGCUUGAUCCACUUGGAUCAGCAAUCUGGCACUGUUUGUCCUUGAACACAACAGAAUAGCCUUUCUCGAGCAAUUGAGCUAUGCUAAGAAGGUUUCUGUCAAUCUCAGGCACCAAAAGCACAUUUGGAAUAAUCUUGUUGCCUGUAGGAGUACUUAUUAGCACCUCUCCUCUUCCUUCAGCCCUUAUGAACUGACCAUUUCCAACCUUGACCUUGGUUUUGCAACUUCUAUCCAAGGUUUUAAAGAAGGAGGCAUCUGGUGACAUGUGGUUAGUGCAACCACUGUCCAAUAACCAGCCUUUUGAGCAUUUCUUCUCAGCAGAUAAGCAAGACACAGCAAAGACAUGCUCUUCUUGGUCACUACUGUCCUCAGCUACCUGAGCUUCAACCUUUGGUUGUUGAAAUUGGCUCUGCCUUGGCUUGGUUCUAUUUUUGCAAACCCUUUCAACAUGGCCUUUCUUCUUGCAGUAUUGGCAUACUGCAUCUGGCCUGAACCAGCAUCUGCCUUCUGGAUGACCUGGCCUUUUGCAAUGUCUGCAGGGCUGGUCAUUGCUCCUUGCAGCAUCAGGCUUAGGUCUGCUUUUCCAAGGCUUUUUACCUCUAGGAGCAUUGAUGCUCGAGGCUUCUCUGGCCUUGACAUUGAAUGCACCUUCCUGGUUGUCUUCAGUUCUGCUAGCUCUUCUUUGUUCCUGAGCAUAGAAGGUGUUGAUUAGCUCAGUCAAAGAGAUGGUAGCAAGAUCUCUUGAGUCCUUUAGAGAGGAUAUCUUGGCCUCAUAUCUCUCAGGCAAAGUGGAGAGGACUUUCUCCACUAUCCUUGCCUCAUCAAAGUGCUCACCUAGGAGCCUUAUUCUGUUAACCACUGCCAUGAUUCUGUCUGCAUACUGCUUCACUAUUUCUUCUUCCUUCAUUUUCAGGUUCUCGAAAUCCCUUCUCAAAUUCAAUAGCUGCUGUUGCCUUGUUCUCUCAGUGCCUUGAAACUCCUCCUUAAGCUUAUCCCAGGCCUGUUUUGGAGUCUCACAGGCCAUGAUUCUGGUGAAGAUGACAUCUAACACACAGUUCUGGAUGCAGGACAUGGCUUUGUGCCUUUUGGUCCUCUCAUCAGCAUGUUGCCUGAUCUGAGCUACUGUGGGAUUAGCCCUCAGUGGUGCUGGCUCAGCAUCUGUGUUGACAACUUCCCACAGAUCGAAGGCCUGUAGGUAAGUCUUCAUCUUGACCAGCCAUAUGUGAAAGCCUUCUCCAUUAAAGACUAGUGGGGCUGCUGGUGAAAAUCUUGAAGAAGCCAUCAGGUUCCUUGGUUUGAAGCAACAGGUCCACUAAGACAAGGGCUCUAGAUACCAAUUGUUGGUGCAAGAGGCAGCAACAAGCUGAUUUCAGCUUGCUUAAACAGCAAGUCUCGAGGCUUGUAGCAGAAACAAUCAAAAACUUACAAUGGAAAACAGAAAAGAAAGAGAGAGAUUUGAAUGAAAAUGAGCUGAAUUUUCAUUAACAUAUUAAGAAGACAUGAUGCCAAUACAUAUAAGGGAUUACAUUAGCAAAACAAACAAGUUACCACCUAAUAACUUACCUAACACCACUAAUUUGCCUAGUAACUUGGUAAACUUGUUUGAAUACAUAAACAGCUACCUAAACUUGUCAUUCAUCACUUAGUUACAUCAAAAUGCAGCUACCAACUAAGUUUGAUCCUAACUAAAUACAAAACAUUCAUUUAAAGAAACUAAAUGAAUAGCUUCAGCUUGCUGCACCAAUUUGCUGUUGAAGCACGUUCCCUGCAUGGCCACCUUUGCUGCUACAUGGGAGCUGACUUCAACAAAAAGUAUACUGAUGUUCUUUAGCAAAUAUGUUAGAGCCUUAAAGGCUUCAAGUGCCAUCGGAGGUCUUACUAACUUAUGAGGGAUACUUAUUACCAAAGAAACAAAUUGCUAGUUUAUACCGUACCCACACUACUGAUAUUCUUUAGCCUAUCAUUUAUUUUCAUCCCCCUCGUUAGCUUGCAACUCUUAUUGAUUAUUUUUACCGGAUCUUACCCUUUUUUGUUAUCUGUUACAGAUUCAAGGAUUACGUGCCUGCGAGGUAUCCUUAUUUGUAUGAGCAAUACCUCAAAAGAAGUAAAAGAAAUGCCUAAAAAUUAAAGGAACUAAACUUAUCCAGUGAAAGCAGCAAUUUAAGGAUGCUAUUUGCCAAUGUGAUCGGUUAGAAGUGAAAGUUUGAGACUUUGGCAUGAUAUUUUUUAGAUCCUAAUCUUUGAAGAAACGUACAAACAUUAUAGAAGUAUGUAGUAAACUGCAACUUUGCACAUCGAUUGGAAGCUUUUGGAUGCAUAACAAAGUUGCUAAUUUGUGUGUGGAGGAAAGAAGCUUCUUCAACAUAAAGGUGAUGUUACACAUAGCAAUCAAUCUUUCCAUAAUUAUUUGUGCUACUACACUGAGAUUACGAAGGACUAGACUUGGUGACUGUUGAGAUCACGUGUUUAAGAUUGCUACUAUUUAGUUUUUCUGUUGCUAAGUUUGAAUAAUUCUUCUUUACUUUAGGAGCUUAGUUUUUCAAUUUGUUUGGUAUAUUGUUACCAGAUUUUUAGUAGAUUUUUAGAACCUCUUUUUCUAUUUUUAGUCUUAAACUUUUGUAUUUAAAUCGUUGAGUUGCAAAUUAAUUAUCAUUCCAGUCUUUCUCUUCUUUCUCCUUCAAAUCUCUCGAUCAACCAACAAAGUUCGAGUUUUAAUCACUAAAAAAUUGGUAUCAGACUUAUUUUCUUGAGGGAUCUGUGAGGUUAUUUGCGUGUUAAAAUAGAAGGAGGUUCCAAUUUUUCAGUUGCUGCACCACCAGUCUACGAUAGAGACAAUUACCAGAUGUGGGCAAUUCGCAUGGAGACUUACCUGGAGGCUUUAGAUCUUUGGGAAGUUGUAAAAAAGGAUUACAAAGUCCUACCACUUCUAGCAAAUCCUACUGUUGCACAGAUUAAAGCAUAAAAAGAAAUCAAAGGUAAAAGCAUACUUAUUUGCAGCUGUGUCUCAAAUGAUUUUCACACAAAUAAUGUCUCUGAAAUCAGCAAAGGAAAUUUGGGAUUACCUCAAGGCUGAAUAUGCAGGAGAUAGAGGAUUCAUAGAAUGAAAGUCCUGAAUUUAAUCAAGGACUUCGAGUUACAGAAGAUGAAAGAGUAUGAGUCAGUGAAAGAAUAUUCUGACAGACUUCUCAGUAUUGCCAACAAGGUGAGAUUGCUUGGUUCUGAGUUGGAAGACUCUAAAAUCAUAGAAAAGCUGCUGGUCACUAUUCUAGAGAAGUUUGAAGCCACCAUUACUACUCUGGAAAACACCAAGGACCUGUCAAAGAUCUCUCUUGCAGAGCUCUUGAAUGCUUUACAAGUACAAGAGCAAAGAAGAUUUAUGAGGCAAGAGGAAGUGAUAGAAGGUGCCUUACCUGUCAAGUAUCAAGACAACAACAUGUAUAAAAAGAAGAAAAAUUUUAAGAACCAGUCAACGAGUGGAGAAAAUUCAUCAGGCAAUUAUCAAAAGAGCAAAAAAGGAGGUGUCAAGAAAUCCUACCCACCUUGUCACCAUUGUGAGAAGAAAGGUCAUCCACCAUUCAAAUUUUGGAAAAGUCCUGACACCAAAUGCUCUAAAUGCAAUCAGCUUGAACAUGAAGCAGUGGUUUGCAAGGUCAAAGGCCAGGUGCAAGAAGUAGAUGCACAGGUAGCUGAUCAAGAAGAAGAAGAUCGAUUGUUCGUGGUUACCUAUUUUUUAGGCAGAGAAUCAAGUGAGAGCUGGUUGAUUGAUAGUAAGUGCACAAAUUACAUGACGUAUGAUAAGGAGCUCUUCGAGGAAUUGAGAAACACUGAAGUCAAAAGAGUGAGGAUUGGAAAUGGUGAGUACUUAGAAGUCAAGAGAACAGGCAUAGUAGCUAUUACAGGCUAUGAAGGUACAAAAUUCAUUUCAGAUGUUUUGUUUGUACCUAAAAUUGAUCAAAAUCUCUUAAGUGUUGGUCAAUUACUAGAUAAAGGCCAUAAAGUGCUAUUUGAGAAUAAGCAGUGCUUGAUUAGAGAUUCUAAUGGCAGGGACUUGUUCAAUGUCAAAAUGAAGGGAAAAUGUUUUGCUCUUAAUCCAAUGGAAAAGGAGCAAAUGGCUUUUAAAUCCAGAGUUAGUGCUUCUGAGACUUGGCACAAGAGACUUGGGCACUUUCACCAUCGAGGAUUACUUCAAAUGCAGUCGAAGAAGCUGGUGGAAGGACUUACAGACAUUGAUGAUGAUCUACCUCAUUUUCAAGCUUGCGAAUUUGGGAAACAACAUAGACAACCCUUUCCUAAACAAGCCUGAAGAGCCUCGAAGAAGUUACAGCUUGUUCAUACUGAUCUUUGUGGUCCUCAGAGAACGCCAUCGUUAAAUAGUAACCUUUAUUACAUAGCCUUUAUCGAUAAUUUAACAAGAAUGUGUUGGAUUUUCUUGUUGAAACAAAAAUCAGAAGUUACCGGUGUGUUCUGGAAAUUCAAAGCUAGAGUUGAAAAUGAAAGUGGAUGCAUGAUUCAGAUUUUAAGAUUUGAUAAUGGCAAGGAGUACACUUCAGAAACCUUUAAUAGGUUUUGUGAAGAGGCUGGAAUUGAGCAUCAGUUGACGGUGCCAUACACUCCACAACAAAAUGGAGUCAGCGAAAGAAGGAACAAAUUCAUAAUGGAGAUGACUCGAUGUAUGCUUCAUGAGAAGAAUCUUCCAAAAAGCUUUUGGGUAGAAGCUGCAAACACUGCUGUGUUCUUGCAAAAUCAGAUUUCAACAAAAACUGUGAAGGAUCAGACGCCAUUUGAAGCUUGGUAUGGUUACAAACCUUCUUUAAAGUUCCUUAGAUUGUUUGGCUGUCUGUGUUUCACUUACAUUCCACAGGUUAAGCGUGAUAAGCUUGAAAAAAAGGCAGAAGCUGGCAUUUUUGUUGGGUAUAGCACUGUAUCUAAAACUUACAGAGUCUUUCAACCACACACUGGACGUGUUAUUGUGAGCAGAGAUGUUUAUUUUGUUGAAAAUGAGAAAUAGAAUUGGGAAGACUCGACCAAGACGAACUAAACUUCUAGUGCACCAAAUCAUUUUACCAUUGGCAGCACGUUAGAGGAGCUUGAAGAUGAAGGGCAAGAUGAUUUGGCUGAUGAUACACCUGUCAGAGGUACAGGACUGCUCUCCGACAUUUACCAAAGAUGUAACGUGGCUAUUUGUGAGCCUGCAGGGUAUCAUGAUGCAAAAAGCAGUCAAUAUUGGAUGGCUGCAAUGAAGGAGGAGCUUUCGAUGAUCGAGAAAAACAAAACUUAGAAGCUGGUUGAUCGACCUCUGGACAGAAAGAUAAUUGGAGUAAGAUGGGUGUUCAAAAUGAAACUAAAUCCCGAUGGUGCAGUUAACAAAUUCAAAGCAAGACUUGUGCUUGUUGUGAAGGGAUAUGCACAAGUCUUUGGAGUCGAUUAUUCAGAAAGAGUGGUGAUAUGUCUCUUUGUUACUGCAAAUUUGAAGAUCAAAUUGCAGAUAUCUUCACCAAACCAUUGCCACUUAGCAAGUUUGAAAGCUUCAGGAAGAAACUUGGAGUUUGCAGCAUCUAAACAAAGAGGAGUGUUUAGAUCACAUGUUUAAGAUUGCUGCCAUUUAGUUUUUCUGUUGCUAAGUUUGAAUAAUUCUCCUUUACUUUAGGAAGCUUAGUUUUUCAAUUUGUUUGGUAUAUUGGUACUAGAUUUUUAGCGGAUUUUUAGAACCUCUUUUUCUAUUUUUAGUCUUGAACUUUUGUAUUUAAAUUGUUGAGGUGCAAAUCAAUCAUCAUUCCAGUCUUCAAUUAUUUUCUAUCUUAAAACUUCCUUUCUCUUCUUUCUGCUUCAAAUCUCUCGAUCAACCAUCAAAAUUCAAGUUCUAAUCACCAACAGUGACAGCUAACAUUUUGUACAAAUUGAAAUCAAACCAACUGAAAUAACAGUGAGACUAAGAAUAUGGCUUGUGGGAGUUUUUAUUCAAUUCCAAAAAAGCACUUUAAAUCCAUGUCUUAACACAGUUACUCCAUAUAAACAUGACUUUGCAAUCGAUAGUUUUAUACCCCUUCUAAACUUUUUUUAAUAGGAAAUUGCGAUUGCUUUCCUACAUGUUUCCAAUACAAAAUUUUCUAGGGAAAUUAUCUACCACAAAAUAGUAGUAGGAAUGAACGAUCAUUUGUAUAUAGUUAAACCAUGCUUGCCUCCAAUAAGGAUUUAUGUAAAGCACAACAGCAAUACAUAAUAACACCAUCACGUAACAUGCGAAGAAGCUUGAAGGCAUCCAUAUCAAUAAAAAAACUUUAAAAAGAUUUAUGUUGGAUAUUAUUUAUGAUUUUCCACUUAAAAAAAACUUUAAAAUUAUGGUUUUGAUCUUUUUUUUCAACUUGUAAACAGCGUGUUAAAGUAUCGUAUGGACAUGUUUGAUUGUGAAACCGUAAUGCAAAACCGAAGGUAGAAAGCAUUUAUAACCAUUGCUAUCAGACAAAGCAACAUCGUAAAGAGUGUGUGUUGUUUGUCCUGUGAAUUGGUUGAAGAGUGACGUGCUUUUUAACUUAUUUGCUUAUUUGAUGUGUACUUGAUUAGACAUUGAUUCCAUUCCAUGUAUAAGAAAAUGAUAUAAGAGGGAAACUUCAACUGGAUUCUCACAAUUAUGGACCCCCUCCCCUAUUGGCAAUGAUUUGUUUGUAUUACAAACGUCUAAACUAAGUUAAACUUUGGGGUCUCUGCAUUUCAUUUCUCCGGAAUUACAUAAAUCAAAGCAUGUUAAGUUUGUAAAAUUUCAUUGUAUUUCUUACCUUUUAAUUACAAUCUAUAGCACAUGUCCUUACCAUACUUUAUGCAUUUGUACCCAACGCUGCUUUAUGUCUAUAUACUUUAUAUAGCGCAUUCCUCACGACACGCGUCAAAUCACUUUUGCCUUUUUCUCCAUUUUAAAAGAUAUAUAAGUUGAUGUGUAUAUAUGGCUUACAAUGUGUAUAGUGAGUCAAUCCCGUGUGGACCCUAAUUGAAUACCAUUUCUUUUCUUUGCUAACCAUUCAUACACAGCAUUGUUGUUUCUUGUCUUUCAUCAUCCUCAAUACAUCCACUGUUGUUUCUGCAGUUUCCAAUUGUUGUUGCUUUGCUGAUUUUAUUUUCAUAAAAUAAUUCUAUCCUUUAAUAGGUUUACAAAAUGUUAUUGGCUUCGCUCCACUAGAAUUUGGGAAAUAAAAAUAUAUAUAAUUUCUUUUUUCAAAAUAUAACUCUGUUAAACAAUAAAUGUCAUUUUUUAAAUUGUGAAUGUUAACUCUACUUAACAUUUUAAUAGUAUAGAGACUAAAUUUAUCCAUUUAUAUAGGGAUUAAUUUGAUCAGGCCACUAUAACAGAAGGACUUGUCAGAUUUAUUCACCUUACUCUCUAUAUAUUUGGUUUGAUUAUACUAUACUUCCCAAAACUAUGAUCCAUGUAUUAGACUUCAAAUUUCAAGGUAGUCCAAUUUAGUCAUUAAAAUAUCAAUAUUAUACAAAUCAAGUCAUUCCAUAAGUCUAGCCAUAAUAAUGAACAGUAAAUGUUAGCUUAGACAUUACGUGGAUCAUAUUUAAAACAUGUGGAUCACAUUUUAAAUACAUAUGUAUUUAUUAUAUUGACAACUUAAAUCUUACAAGUUAAAAAGAAAAAGAAAAACAUAAUUCUCCUCAAUUUUAAUGACACUAUUAUUUUUUUCACUUCAUAUCCAAAUUUUCAAUAAAAUAAAUAUGGACGUGGUAGAUUUUGGUCCUAAUAUUUUAAAUAAGUUUCCUAUAACAUAAUUCUUAAAUAUAUAUAUAAAUAAAAACACAAAAAUUUGUAUAUGGUAGAAUAAAAAGGAAAAGCUUCCAAGAAACUCAUUCCAUAAAGGGUCCACUUAUCGCUUAAUUGGUUUCCAAUCUUAUUAUCAAAAUAUUUGUCUCCCUGAUAGAAUGAAAAUUAUAUGUAGUAAACCCACCACUUACGUCGGGGUUUAAUAAAACAAUUUACAUUAUUUAACUAAUUGUUUGCAUUAAUAUCUAUUUACAAUUUAUUACAUAUUAAUUAAUUAAAAAUAAUUAAAUAUUAAUUUAUUAGAAUCGGUGCAUCCUGUUAUUAACAAACACAACAAAAGAAUGAUUACAAAGAAGGAAAGAGAGGAUCCCCGGAAAGGAUAGAAUUUGCACAAUAUGCAUGUAUCAAAAUACUACUAAUAGGCAAAAAAGUGGUGACGCCGAUGCCUGUGGGUGGCCUAUUAAAAAAAUGUUCUUUUUCUUAUUCUUCUCUUAUAAUAUAUGUUGUUUUGGACAUGUACAAAUAUUAGUGAUGCCAAAAAUAUUAGCGUGACUCAAAAAAAAUAUUUUUUAUAUACUGUAACUAAUGAUUGAGUGAAAGUGAUAAGGUGGGAUGUUAAUGACAAUGGUGUCACUUAUCUUUACGGUAAUGACAUCCUAUAUUUAUCAUUCAAAAUAGGUCAUUUACAUACAUAAUUUAAAAGUGAGUUAUUUUCGUAAAUAAUGUGAAAUUUUGAACAAUUUUUUUAUAAAAAAAAGCCAUGGACUCCUCUCCAAAUUUAUUAUGAUUUGGUCCAAAUAUAUUCAUGUUAUUAGUUAAACUAUGCAUUGUAAUAAUUAAUUAGAAUAAUUAAUCGUGUUAAUAUUUGGAUUAAUUAUUGAUAUUAUAAAAAUAAAAAAUUUAAAUAUGUCAAAUUAAAGUAUAGGGACCAAAUAUGAUAUCUUUUUUGUGUCAUUUUAAUUGAGACUUAAGGAUCUAAGAAACCUUUGAAUUUUUUCGAAAAAUAAAAUAAAAUUAAGCCCGUAAAAAUACAAACUUAGUGAAGCCCUCGCAUGCUAAAAACAUAAAGCCCUUUGACUAAUUGAGUCAUUAGAGUAUCAAUUCUACAUCAAUCAGGUCUUGCAUUUGUGUAACAAUCAUCUUGGGCAUUAAAUGUUAGCUCGGACAUAAUGUGGAGCAUAUUUAAAAUAUGGUGAUCAAAUUUUAAACAUGUACUUAUCGGAUGGACAACUUAAAUAUCUAAUACAUUGAAAAAAGGGAAAAGAAAAAAGAAAACAAUUCUCUUAAAUUUUAAUCACACUGUUUUAUUAGUAAAAAGCAACAACUAUGUUCUGUGAAGAAACGCAAAGCACUACUUAUAGAGCAUGAUAAAAGUUCCAAUGUUAAUGCAUCAUAUGCCCAAAGAUCAGUGCCAAGAGACCUUCCUUUCACAGUAAGUUGAGUGAAGCACAACAAUCUUUCUAAUACUACGUUUGUUGAAUCUUAAUGUUCAUUUACUACUAGGCCUGGUGACAGCUAACAUUUUCUACAAAUCGAAAUCAAACAAAUUGAAAUAGCAGUGAGACUAAGAUGGAUUGUGGGAGUUUUUAUUCGUUACAAAAAAGCACUUUAAAUCCAUGUCUUAACACAGUUACUCCAUGGCUUUUCAAUCGACAGUUUUAUACCCCUUGUAAACUCUUUUUUAUCGAAAAUUGCAAUUGCUUUACUACAUGUUUCCACUACAAAAUUUUCUGGGGAAAUUAUCUACCACAAAAUAGUAGCAGGAAUCAACGGCCAUUUGUAUAUAGUAAAACCAUGCUUGCCUCCAAUAAGGAUUUAUGUACAGCACAGCUGCGAUACACAAUAGCACCAUCACAUAACAUGCGAAGAAGCUUGCAUAGAAAGCAUCCAUAUCAAUGAAACCAUGGUCUUCUGUGUCGCCAGCUGAAGCCUUCGGUGUAAUUGGUGUUGCGACCAGUGAACAAUUCUGUUGCGCGGAAGCGUGUGAAAGAGUAAAAUUAUUGUACUGAAAAAUCACACUAAGUUCAAUUCCCAGGAAAGAGAGGUGGAUCACGAGGAUCGCUUACAUACCAGAUCUUUCCUAGCCAGAAUAUCCCUCUAUCGUAAUUUAAUAGCACAAUAAAUCACUACAAUGACACUUGCAAAAUAUGCAGAACAAAAAAUAAAGAACACUAGAAUUUUAACGAGGUUCAGCAAAUUUUGCCUACGUCCUCGGGCACUACCAAAUAUAUUUCACUCCAAAAAUACAAGUGAAAGUUUACAAAUAGGGAGAGAGAACAAUUGCCUUAAGUAGAGAAUGGCAAGUAUGGGAUGAAGAAAGUAAGCAAUGGUUAGGCCUAUUUAUAGUUGAGGUUCAAUGAUCAACUUGCAAUGUCCCUAUACAAUUAGGGACCAAAAUUGCAAUUAUCCCAUGCCAACUUUUAACCCAACUUGCCAACCAAUUUUACUUUCUACUUUCGGUGCCCACCCUUUUUGACUUUUCAAACAAUGGGUGGGUUCCAAUAAUCUCCACCUUGAAGAUUUGAUUAGGAUAAUCUUAUCUUCACACAAUUCUUUCUGCCUUUGACAACAAUACUUGAUAGUGCCUUCUUCAACUGUUAAACUUGCAGGAUAUUAAUCAAGUUCAAACAAUGUUCGAACUUGGUUGAUGUUACCACCUUGGUCAUCAUAUCUGUGGGAUUAUCUAUAGUCUUGAUCUUCUGAAGACAAAUUUUCCCCUCUUCAAUAAUUUCCCGCACAAAAUGGAAUCGUACGUCGAUAUGUUUUGUACGUGCAUGAUAGACUUGAUUCUUUGCUAAAUGAAUAGCACUUUGACUAUCACAAUACACGUUAAUAUGCUCCUGAACCAACCCCAAGGUUUUAGCCAUACCUUGUAACCAAAUAGCCUCCUUUAUAGCCUCUGUUAUAGCCAUGUACUCGGCUUCUGUGGUUGACAAUGCAACUGUAGACUGUAGUGUAGACUUCCAACUUAUUGGUCCUCUAGCAAGUGUAAACACAUAACCGGUGGUUGAUCUUCGCUUGUCCAAAUCACCGGCAUAGUCAGAAUCAACAUACCCAAUAACACCUUUACCAAGUGUAUUAUCCUGCUUGAACAGUAAUCCAACAUCCACGGUCUUCUGAAUAUACCGUAGAAUCCAUUUCACAGCUUGCCAAUGUCCUUUUCCAGGAUUAUGCAUAUACCAGCUCACUAUACUAACUGCCUGUGAAAUGUCGGGUCUUGUACACACCAUUGCAUACAUCAAGCUACCCACUGCAUUGGAAUACGGAACUUGCAACAUGUAUUCUCGUUCCGUAUUCGUCGAAGGAGAUAGUUGUGCAGAAAGCUUGAAAUGAGAAGCCAACUGGGUACUUACAGGUUUUGUCUGCUCGUUCAUGCCAAACUGUUGUAGUACCUUUUUCAAAUACUGCUUCUGAGACAAGCUAACUCUAUCAUGAGCUCUAUCUCUCCAUAUUUCCAUGCCGAGAAUCUUUUUAGCUUCUCCUAGAUCUUUCAUCUCAAACUCGAGAUUGAGUUGAGUCUUCAAUCUUUCAAUCUCAACUUUGCUCUUAGAUGCUAUUAGCAUAUCAUCAACAUAUAAGAGCAAGUAUAUGAAAGUUCCUUCUUGUAGCUUCUGAAAAUACACGCAAUGAUCAAAUUUACUUCUUGUGUACCUUUGCCCUUUCAUGAACUAAUCAAAUCGCUUGUACCACUGCCUCGGAGAUUGCUUCAAUCCAUAAAGCGACUUUGUCAGUUUGCAAACCCAAUUUUCUUUUCCAGCAACCUUGAAUCCAUCUGGCUGAGUCAUAUAGAUUUCCUCUUCCAAAUCACCGUGUAAAAAUGCGGUCUUCACAUCAAGCUGAACUAGUUCAAGAUCAUAUUGCGCAACCAAGGCUAGCAAAAUCCGAAUAGACGAAUGCUUCACAACUGGAGAAAACACUUCAUUGUAGUCUAUUUCUUCUUUCUGAGCGUAACCCUUUGCUACUAAUCUAGCCUUGUAUCGAAUUUCAUUUUUAUCAGGAAAUCCUUCCUUCUUUGCAUAUACCCAUUUGCAUCCAAUUGCCUUCUUUCCCUUGGGUAGUGUCACCAACUCCCAGGUCGUAUUUUUAUGAAGAGACUGCAUUUAUUCAUUCAUUGCUUGCUUCCACUUUACACCAUCAGGGUUACUUAUUACUUCUGUGUAAGUAGAAGGAACAUCAUCAUCUGUAAUUGGAAGUGCAUAGGCCACUAUAUCAUCAAAGCGAGCAGGCUUACGAAUCUCUCUUCUUGGCCUUCUAUAUGCAAUUGAAUCUUGUUGCUGUAGAGGUUCUUGGGUAGGAACCUCUUCAUCAUUUGUCCCUUCAAUAUUAGCUGGAUCAUCGUUAACCUUUUCAAGCUCCACCUACUGCAAAGUACUACUGGUUUUGUCAUUCUUUUGUGAAUCCUUGUACUUCAACAUGGUUGAUUCAUCAAAAGUCACAUCUCUACUGAAAAUAAUCUUCCUUGUAUCAGGACACCAGAGACGAUAUCCUUUUACUCCAUCAGUUAUACCCAAGAAUAAUGCUUUCUUUGCUCUUGGUUCUAACUUAGAUCCUUUUACAUGAUAAUAUGCAGUGGAACCAAAUACAUGUAAAGAAUCAUAAUCAGUAGCAGAUUUACCAGUCCACAUCUCCAUAGGAGUUUUUCCAUUUAUUGCAGCUGAUGGCAAACGGUUAAUUAGAUGGCACGCAUAUGUAACUGCCUCAGCCUAAAAUUCUUUGCCCAAUCCAGCAUUGGACAACAUACAUCGAACUUUCUCCAGUAUAGUUCGAUUCAUUCGUUCUGCCACCCCAUUUUGCUGUGGUGUAUCCCGAACAGUGAAGUGUCGCACAAUGCCCUCAUCUUGGCAUACUUGUAGAAAUGGAUCGUUUUUGUACUCAGUACCAUUAUCUGAUCGAAGUCGUUUGACCUUUCGACCAGUCUGAGUCUCCACCAUCUUCUUCCAUUUCAAAAAUGCAUCCAAAACUUCACUUUUUCUUUUCAUUAGAUACACCCAUACUUUUCUUGAAUAAUCAUCAACAAAAGUAACAAAAUAGUGCAUACCUCCCAAAGAAGCUACUUUGGUAGGUCCCCACACAUCACUGUGAACGUAGUCCAGAAUUCCUUUCGUAUUGUGAAUUGCUGGACCAAAUUUUACCCUCUUCUGCUUGCCCAGAACACAAUGUUCACAGAAUUCCAUUUUGCAAGAAUUUGCACCUUUCAAUAAGCCUUGCUUCACCAAUGUCUGCAAAGCUUUUUCACCAGCAUGUCCCAAUCGCAUAUGCCAUAAUCUGGUAACCUCUGAAUCUACAUCUUUUGUAGAAACUAUUGAUGUUGAUCCAAUAAUUGUACUUCCAUUUAAAAAAUACAAGUUAUUUCUUCUUGUGCCUUUCAUCACCGUCAGUUGCCCAGCUACUACUUUUAGUAAUCCAUCUCUCAAAGUGAUUGUGAGCCCUUUAGAUUCUAGGGCACCUAAUGAGAUGAGAUUUUUCUUCAGGCUAGGUACGUAGCGAACAUCUGUCAAGACUUGGAUUGAGCCGUCGUGAUUCUUCAAUUGGACUGUACCCACUCCCAUUGUCUUACAAGCACUAUCAUUGCCCAUAAGAACAAUUCCACCUUCUAGCUCUUUAAGACUAGAAAACCAGUCCUUAUUAGGACACAUAUGGUAAGUACAUCCUGAAUCCAAAAUCCACUCAUCCGUUUGACAUGCCAUUGCCAUGCCAACCAAGCUAAAGUCUGACUCCUCAUCAUGCUCCGCUACACAUGCAUUAGAAAUAACCUUGCCCUUUUGUAGCUUAGGACAAUUCUUUUUCCAAUGCCCUUUUUCACGGCAAAAGGCACAUUCAUCUUUGGCGGGUCUCCCUUUGGACUUUCCCCUUCUACCAGAUUUGCUGCUGUGUGAAUGACCUCUUACUGUUAAGACUUCUGUGGUUGUAUCUCUGUGAUCUUUUUUAUCUUUCUUUCAAGUCUCAGAUCUAUACAACGCACUACAGACUGCAUCAAAUGUGAUCGUGUCCUUCCCAUGAAGCAAUGUGGUGGUAAGAUGAUCAUAUUCAUCAGGAAGGGAAUUCAACAACAAUAAUGCCUUGUCUUCAUCUUCAAAUUUCUCAUCCAAAUUUAGCAAGUCUGCUAAAAUUUUAUUGAAUGAGUUCACAUGGUCAUUCAUCGACAUACCGGGUGCAUACGUGAAUCGAUAAAGUUUCUUUUUCAUAUAAAUCCUAUUUUCAAGACUUUUCGUUAGAAACUUUUCUUCCAGUGUAUCCCAUAACUUCUUCGCUGAUGUUUCUCUCAUGACAGAGUACUUCUGCUCUUUGGCCAAACAUAGGCGGAUUGUACCACACGCCUGUCUAUUGAUCUUGGCCCACUCUUUGUCAUCCAUCUUGUCAGGUUUUUCUUCAAGGGCUAUAUCUAGCUCUUGCUGACAUAAGACAUCCAGGAUCUCACAUUGCCACAUACCAAAAUUAUUGGUACCGUCAAAUUUCUCUACUUCAAAUUUUGCAUUUGUCACAGUAGUCCUUGCUGAUGACGAUGCUGCUGCCAUUUUUCUCCUCAAUCCCAACUACUGUAUACGUGAACAGUACCGUAUACGUGAAUAGUGCCGUAUACGUGAAUAGUACCGUAUACAUGAAUAGUGCUAUAUACGUGAAUAGUAUCGUAAACGGUCGUAUUCCCUAAGUACGAACCUGGCUCUGGUACCAAUUGUUGCGCGGAAGCGUGUGAAAGAGUAAAAUUAUUGUACUGAAAAAUCACACUAAGUUCAAUUCCCAGGAAAGAGAGGUGGAUCACGAGGAUCGCUUACAUACCAGAUCUUUCCUAGCCAGAAUAUCCCUCUAUCGUAAUUUAAUAGCACAAUAAAUCACUACAAUGACACUUGCAAAAUAUGCAGAACAAAAAAUAAAGAACACUAGAAUUUUAACGAGGUUCAGCAAAUUUUGCCUACGUCCUCGGGCACUACCAAAUAUAUUUCACUCCAAAAAUACAAGUGAAAGUUUACAAAUAGGGAGAGAGAACAAUUGCCUUAAGUAGAGAAUGGCAAGUGUGGGAUGAAGAAAGUAAGCAAUGGUUAGGCCUAUUUAUAGUUGAGGUUCAAUGAUCAACUUGCAAUGUCCCUAUACAAUUAGGGACCAAAAUUACAAUUAUCCCAUGCCAACUUUUAACCCAACUUGCCAACCAAUUUUACUUUCUACUUUUGGUGCCCACCCUUUUUGACUUUUCAAACAAUGGGUGGGUUCCAAUAAAUUCUUUCCCACCAAUGACCCACAAAGAAAAAGAUUCCCAAAAUAGCUGCUUUCAUCAAAUGUUCCCAAUUGUCCUAUCCUUUCAGGUGUUUUUCCAGAUAAAUUGUUGUUUGACACAUUGAAGUAUUGCAAGAAAUGUAACACCGCAAACUCGACAGAAAUGUUCCCUGUUAAAUUGUUGUAGGAAAGAUCUAGACUUUCUAGGUCCUUUAGGUUAGAAAACACUUGUGGGAUUGGUCCGGUCAAGCUAUUGCGAGAAAGGUUCAAUGUAAAAAGCUUCAUAAUGUUUCUUGUUUCAAAAUUAAUCUCACCAGUAACCUUGUUGUAGGAGAGAUCAAUUCCAGACAUGUAUUGAAGGAUUCUUCUCCUGUAAUGGUAGGAUCUGCUCUUUACUAUGUAUUCUAUUGGUACUUCAAUGGACUUCGCGGUAUCUAUGUCAUAACGACUAUAAUAAUACCAAAUAUAUUCCUCGGUUACGUAGUUCAUUGCAGAAACUUUUAAACAAGAAGGAAUACCACCGGACAGAUUGUUCAGAGAAAGAUCAAUCAAGCUUAAACGACCCAAAUUGCAUAAUUGAAUUGGAAUUUCUCCCUUAAAGUGGUUUCUCUUUAGGAGAAGAUAACUCAAUUCAGAAAGGUUGCCAAUCCAAUUUGGAAUGUUACCCUUAAAGUGGUUAUAGCUGAGAUCCAAUGUCACCAACGAAGAGCUAUCACGAAAAGCAUUCGGUAAUGGUCCUUGUAGCAUAUUUCUAGAUAAAUGAACUUCCCUUAGCGAUACAGGCUUGAAGCAAGAUGGUAGAGUCCCUGAGAAAUUGUUCAUGGAAAGGUCCAAAAAUAUAAGUCCUUCAUUGAGAUUGCAAAUCGCCCUUGGUAUUGAACCUUCAAGUUGAUUAUCUGCCAUGGCAAGUUGUUCCAAAGGUAAAGCAUUUCCCCUCCAUUGUGGAAACCUACCAAAGAGUAGGUUUCUGCUCAUAUCCAAUGCUAUCAACCUUGACAUAUUCCCAAUCCAACUUGGUAUCUCACCGAAGAGAUAGUUAUUGCUAAGAUCAAGUAAAUACAAAUCAGAGCAGUUAGCCAAUACAUUAGGGAUCACCCCAGUGAAGUUAUUUCCAUCUAAUCGUACCUCAGAGAGGCUCAUUAGGCUAAAAUUUCCAGAGAAAAUAACUCAUUGCAAUGUGUUAUUUGAUAAUGCAAGGAACUCUAAUAAGGAGCAACCCGUAGCCAUGUGCUCAGGUAUCCCUCCAGACAAAUGGUUGUUUGAUAAGUCCAAACCUUGCAGUGAACUCAUAUCACCAAAUGAAGAGGGAAUGCGACCACUGAAAUAAUUUUGUGACAUGUUCAGAGUCUUCAACAAUGGUAGAUGUGCUCCAAUUCUUUCUGGAAUGUUGCCACCAAAGGCAUUGUUGGAGAUAUCCAAAUUCGAUAAAGCCAAAUGCGCACGCGAUGUCAGUUGAAAAGGCCCUAAUAGAGAGCAAUUCACGAGAUGCAGUAACUCUAGCUUCGUGUUGUUUUCCAACAACCAAAAAGGGAAUUGAUCCACCUUGAAGAAAUGUAUUUCUGAGAGAGUAACACCCUGUAAGUUACUUUGAUGGUAAAAGAAAUAUGGAAAUGACCCACCACUUCCACAACAAGAAAAACUGAUGUAACUCAACUGGAACCUUGGGGCCAAAGAAUUGAGCAUCUCAUGAUCAUCGGCAUGUAUGUUGUUGUUGUCUCCUCUGAUAAACUUGAGUCUUGAAAGGUUGAACAAGGGUCCUAAUGAGCUUGGGAUGUGAAAU
Molecule: long non-coding RNA, 58137 nt
Filed under: Gossypium barbadense (sea-island cotton)
Lineage: Eukaryota; Viridiplantae; Streptophyta; Magnoliopsida; Malvales; Malvaceae
Description: long non-coding RNA (GBAR_LNC017452)
Source: RNAcentral